UCCAGCAGAGAAACAAUAUCUUUGAGAGUUACUUUUCAGUAGAAAGUCUUUCACCUCCUUUGCUUUUGUGUGAGAAAAAUGGCUUACUCCAAGACUUUCCUUCUCAUUGGCCUUCUCUUUGCUGUUGUUCUCAUCCUGUCCUCUGAGGUUUCAGCUCGGGAUCUAGCUGAAACAUCCCAAACUCGUAAGUUAAAUUUCUUUUAGUAGAUGUAAAUUAAUGGCAUGUUAUGUGUUCAUAUAGAGAUGCUUUAUUAACUUAUUUAAAGUAAUAAAUUUCGUUUUCUUAAAUUAUGGCAGAAGUGAGCGUGGAGGAUGCGAAGUACGGUGGGUAUGGACACGGGUACGGCCACGGAAAAGGACAUGGGUACCAAAAAGGACAUGGGCAUGGGCAUGGGAAACCUGGUCAUGGGGGACCUGGCCAUCCACCUGGUCAUGGUGGUGCUGGUGAGGAUGUGGAAGAGGGGACGCAGAAUUAGUGUAAUCAAUCCUUAAUUAUGUGGGCUACGCAUGAUUAGGGUGUGUUUUAUGUAAGUUUAUGAAAGCGUGUGUAUCAAUAAGGCAUGUGGGCUUAGGGUUACUCUCUAAGACCAGCAUGGCUGUGUUGUAGCUUCUAUGCUUAAUAUAAUGCUUUUUCAUGUGCUGUGCUAAAAUGGAGUAUGAUGAAUGCCGUCGGGUGAUCUACCCUUUUUUUUUUUCUUGGGAUUAUAUUAUUUACUUCGGAGUAAUUUUGUUGAGAUAUGAUUUUGUGUAAAUAUACUUACCAUCAUUGGUUUCAAAUUAUAUUAGUUUAUACCCUCACCAACAUACCCACCUCAAAUCUUUACCUAAAAUUGAUCUAAAAACCUAAAAUUUAUCUAAAAAGUAAAUUGUGAACAUGCGAAAUUUAAAACCAGCAACAACUUAGGCUAUGUUUGGUUUUCGAAAAAUUUGAGGAAAAUGUAAAGGAAAGAAAAUAGAGAGGAAAAGUAAAAGGAAAGAAAAGGAAAAUAAAAAAUAGAGUUAAAGAUAAUAAAUCAUUUUUAUUUGUUACUUUAAAUUUAUAUUAUUUAUUUUAAUUUAUCAAUAUAAAAAUUAAAUAAUUUUAAAAUAUAUAAGUUUUUAAUUAAUUUUAAUUAUAUUUAAUUUUCUUUGUAAUAUUUUAUAGGAUAAUUAAAUAUGAGAAAAUCAUUUUUUAUCAUUUUUUUUUUCUUUUGUACUUUUCGGGAACCAAACAUAACUUUAGUGUAUUUACACUCAACCUUAAAAGUAUAAAUGAGAUUAAUUUUUAUUUGGAAUUAUUGGAAUUUGGAUUUGAAAAGAAAGAAAUUUUUUUUUUGAAUUGAGAAAAAAAUGAAGGUAAAAAGUAUAAUAACCAAUUAUAUAGUUAUAAAAAGAAUUUGCAUGGUAAAGCCUUUUAUUGAGAGGUCUUAGUUUUCUUUGAGAUAUUUUAAGUUGAAGAUUAUUGCAGUCAAUCCUAUUUUGUGGGUUAUUUAUAUAAAUUCAUUGAAAUUGUAGCUCGGGAGUAAAUGAAAUACAAAUAGGAUAUGCAUUCUCAGUCCUCUAUUUAAGAAACCAAAUGUAGUAUAAAAAAAAAUACUUAUGCAAUUUAAUAUAACAAUAAUACUUCCUAUCCAACACUUAGUCCAAGAGUUACUUAUAUUCCCAUUUUUAUAAGUAUACCAAAUAUAAUUAUUGUUGGUGCACAAUGAAUGAUUACUCGAUUUGGGUAGUUUUUUCCACUGGAUUGGAUGAUUUUGUAAAAAACGAGUCGUUGGAUGGUUGUUUUGGGCAUCCUUCUUCAAUGGUUAAGUUAGUUUGAGAAUUUUUAAGGCAAAUAUUUUGUAUGGGUUUAGAGUGUAUAUCUUUAUUUAUUUUUAACGUUCGAUGUUCUUUUAUAAUAGAGGCAUCUUAUAAUGGUGUUUAUAUUUUAUGAUUAUUAUUUAUUGUAGUUUUAGUGCAUGUUAGAGCAUAACGAUUUAGUCAUUGGAAAUGAUUGAUUAUUUAUAUUAUGAAAUAAUUACCUUUGAAAUGACACAUAAUGAUUGUAUUUAUAUUUUUACCAUUGGAAAAAUAAUUAUUGACUCUAAUUUGGUUCUAUGUUAGUCGGGCGAUACAAGUUGUAUCUAAAUCAUUAAAUGAUGAGAUUUUGAUUAUUGAAUGUGAAUAGAAAUGGAGGUGAUAAAAAUUUAAAGGCAUAAAUAAAUGGAAUUAAUGUAUAUAAAAAAAAAAGAUUUGAAAAUGGUUUAAGUGUUGGCAUGCGAGGGUGUCCUUUGUUAUCUAAGAUCGAUUUGAAGAGAAUUGAGAGGUCGGUGGACAUGAGGACAGAUAUGAGAAUGACGUGAGAUGGGACGUAAUCAUUCAAGAGAUAUCAUGUGAGUAGAAAUUAGAAUGUAGUGAACUUUGCCCAUGCAUAUGGAGUUGAAUUUUAAGCUCAAAUCCAACACCUGUCACCCAUGUGGCACUCUCAAUUGACAUAAUAGUGUUGUGUUUUGGACUUGGUGACGUGUGGAGGGACGUACGUAUACAUGAAUGGGCUGUUUCAGGGACUUUUCUCAAUAGUAUAGUAAUUUAAAAAAGUUAUGCUUAAAUUAUUAUAGUAGAAGAAGUUAUUACAAAUAUAUGGUAGUUUUUGCCACAUAGGAGAAAGGAGAGAGGAGAUAGGAGAGAGGGUGAACGGAUAAUUUUUUUUAAAAAAGGGAACUCGUCUCUUGAAGAGACGAGUUCCAUGAAAAAAAAAUAUAUAUUUUUUAAAAAAAAUUCCUAUUUACUCAAGGGAACUCGUCUCUUGACGAGUUCCAUGAAAAAAGACAAGGGAAAGACGAGUUCCUAGGGAAAAAAAAAUAUUUUUUUUAAAAUAUAUUUUUUAUUUAAAAAAAAUCCUAAAUUAAAUUAUAAAAAAAAUUUCCUAAAGGGAACUCGUCUCUUCAAGAGACAAGUUCCCAUGUAAAAAAAUUUUUUUUUUUUUUAAAAUAUAUAUAUUUAAAAAAAAAAAAUUUCCUUUUUUUUUAAUUUGGGAUUUUUUUAAAAUAAAAAAUAUAUUUAAAAAAAAAAUAUUUUUUUCCCAUGGGAACUCGUCUCUUCAAGAGACGAGUUCCCUUUAGCAAUUUUGAGAAAUUGUUUUUUUUUUUUUAAUAUAUAUAUAUUUAAAAAAAAUAUUUUUUUUACAUGGGAACUCGUCUCUUGAAGAGACGAGUUCCCUUUGGAAUUGUUUUUUUUUUUUUUUUUUAUUUGGGAUUUUUUUUUAAAAAAAAUAUUUUUUUUACAUGGGAACUCGUCUCUUGAAGAGACGAGUUCCCUUUGGAAUUGUUUUUUUUUUUUUUUUUUUUAUUUGGGAUUUUUUUUUUUUAAAAAAUAUUUUUUUCCUAUGGGAACUCGUCUCUUGAAGAGACGAGUUCCCUUUAGGANNNNNNNNNNNNNNNNNNNNNNNNNNNNNNNNNNNNNNNNNNNNNNNNNNNNNNNNNNNNNNNNNNNNNNNNNNNNNNNNNNNNNNNNNNNUUUUAUUUAUUUAAAAAUAUAUAUUUUUUUUUACAAGGGAACUUGUCUCUUCAAGAGACGAGUUCCCUUUAGCAAUUUUGAGAAAUUGUUUUUUUUUUUUUUUUAAUAUAUAUAUAUUUAAAAAAAAAUAUUUUUUUUACAUGAAGAGACGAGUUCCCUUUGGAAUUGUUUUUUUUUUUUUAUUUUUUUAUUUUUUUAUUUGGGAUUUUUUUUAAAUAAAAAAUAUAUUUUAAAAAAAAAUAUUUUUUUUCCCAUGGGAACUCGUCUCUUGAGUUUCCUUUAGGAAUUUUUUUUUUUUAAAAUAUAUAUAUAUUUUUAAAAAAAAUAUUAUUUUUACAUGGGAACUCCCUUUAGGAAUUUUGAGGAAUUGUUUUUUUUUUUUUUUAAUAUAUAUAUUUUAAAAAAAAAAUAUUUUUUUUUACAUGGGAACUCGUCUCUUGAAGAGACGAGUUCCCUUUGGAAUUGUUUUUAUUUUUUUAUUUUUUUUAUUUUUAUUUUUAUUUUUAAUUUGGGAUUUUUUUAAAUAAAAAAUAUAUUUAAAAAAAAAAAAUUUCCCAAGGGAACUCAGGAAAUUUUUAUUUUUUUUAAAUAUAUAUAUUUUUAAAAAAAAUAUUUUUUUUUUACAUGGGAACUCAUCUCUUCAAGAGACGAGUUCCUUUGAGGAAUUGUUUUUUUUUUUUUUUUUUAAUAUAUACAUUUAAAAAAAAAAAUAUUUUUUUUUUACAUGGGAACUCGUCUCUUCAAGAGACGAGUUCCCUUUGGAAUUGUUUUUUUUUUUUUUUUUAAUUUUUUAAUUUGGGAUUUUUUAAAUAAAAAAUAUAUUUUAAAGAAGAGACGAGUUCCUUUAGGAUUUUUUUUAAAUAAAAAAUAUAUUUAAAAAUUUUUUUUUUUCCCAUGGGAACUCGUCUCUUGAGUUCCCUUAGGAAAUUUUUUUUUUUAAAUAUAUAUAUUUAAAAAAAAAAAAUAUUUUUAAAAAAAAAAAAUUUUUUUUUACAUGGGAACUCGUCUCUUCAAGAGACGAGUUCCCUUUAGGAAUUUUGAGGAAUUGUUUUUUUUUUUUUUAAUAUAUAUAUUUUAAUUAGGAAUUUUUUUUUUAAAUAUAUAUAUUUUUUUAAAAAAAAUAUUUUUUUUUACAUGGGAACUCGUCUCUUGAAGAGACGAGUUCCCUUUGGAAUUGUUUUUUUUUUAUUUUUUUUUUAUUUUUUAUUUUUUUAUUUGGGAUUUUUUUAAAUAAAAAAUAUAUUUAAAAAAAAAAAUAUUUUUUUUCCCAAAGGGAACUCGUCUCUUCAAGAGACGAGUUCCCUUUGGAAUUGUUUUUUUUUUUUUUUUAUUUUUUAUUUUUUAUUUUUUAUUUGGGAUUUUUUUAAAUAAAAAAUAUAUUUAAAAAAAAAAAUAUUUUUUUCCCAAAGGGAACUCGUCUCUUCAAGAGACGAGUUCCCUUUGGAAUUGUUUUUUUUUUUUUUUUUUUUUAAAUUUGGGAUUUUUUUAAAUAAAAAAUAUAUUUUAAAAAAAAAAUAUUUUUUUUCCCAUGGGAACUCGUCUGAAGUAGGAAUUUUUUUUUAAAUAUAUAUAUUUUAAAAAAAAAUAUUUUUUUUUACAUGGGAACUCGUCUUUUUUUUUUUUUUUUUUUUUAAUUUAGGAUUUUUUUUAAAUAAAAAAUAUAUUUUAAAAAAAAUAUAUUUUUUUUCCCAUGGGAACUCAUCUCUUGAAGAGACGAGUUCCCUUUAGGAAUUUUUUUUUUAUGGGAUUAUUUUUAAAUAAAAAAUAUAUUUAAAAAAAAUAUAUAUUUUUUUUUCCCAGGGGAACUCGUCUCUUCAAGAGACGAGUUCCCUUUAGUUCCAAAUUGUUUUUUUUUUUUUUUUUAAUUUGGGAAUUUUUUAAAAAUAAAAAUAUUUUUUUAAAUGGAAACCCGCCCCUUGGAGAAAAGAGUUUCCUUGAAAAAUGGUUUUUUUUUUUUUUUUUAAUUUGAAAAUUUUUUAACAAUAAAUUAUAUAAUUUUUUCCAGGGAACCCCCCUCCUGAAAAGACAAGCUCCCCAAAGAAAAGGGGAAUUUUCUUAAAAAANNNNNNNNNNNNNNNNNNNNNNNNNNNNNNNNNNNNNNNNNNNNNNNNNNNNNNNNNNNNNNNNNNNNNNNNNNNNNNNNNNNNNNNNNNNNNNNNNNNNUUUUUUUCCCAUGGGGAACUCAUCUCUUGAAGAGACGAGUUCCCUUUAGGAAUUUUUUUUUUAUGGGAUUAUUUUUAAAUAAAAAAUAUAUUUAAAAAAAAUAUAUAUUUUUUUUCCCAUGGGAACUCGUCUCUUCAAGAGACGAGUUCCCUUUAGUUCCAAAUUGUUUUUUUUUUUUUUUUUAAUUUGUGAAUUUUUUAAAAAUAUAUAUAUUUUUUUUAAUGGGAACUCGUCUCUUGAAGAGACGAGUUUCCUUGAAGAAUUGUCUUUUUUUUUUUUUUUAAUUUGAGAAUUUUUUUACAAAUAUAUAUAUAUAUUUUUUCAUGGAACUCGUCUCCUGAAGAGACGAGUUCCCUUAAGUAAAUGGGAAAUUUUCUUAAAAAAAUAUAUAUAUUUUUUUUCAUGGAACUCGUCUCUUCAAGAGACGAGUUCCCUUUUUAAAAAAAAUUUAUCGAUUCACCCUUUCUCCUAUCUCCUCUCUCCUCUCUCUCACCUUCUCUCCUAUCUCCUUUCUCCUCUCUCCUAUGUGGCAAAAACUACCAUAUAUUUGUAAUAACUUCUUCUACUACAAUAAUUUAAGCAUAACUUUUUUAAAUUACUAUAUUAUUGAGAAAAGUCCCUGUUUCCAGUUUCCAACUAUGUCAUUAAAGGAAGGUUCAUGAUUUUUUUGGAACUUUAAAAUGAUAUGACAAACACAGCGUAGCAUUUUUCUUAAAAGGAAAUCCAUAUAAAACAAUUUAUAUUUCUAAUUACCAAAUUCUUCGUACCAAUAUUUAGAGUGUUUGAUAAUAAUUAUAAAAAAUAUUUAUACUUUUUUUAACACCAAAAUUUUUUUAUCUUUCACAUAUAAAAAAGUUAAAAAUACUUUCUAAAACUUUAAUACAUUCAUUUUCAUUUGAAGUGGGUAAUCGAGGCAAUGUUUGUCUUUUUCUUUUUGAAUUGUUGCUAUCUUUGAGUUAAUCCUUUGGAGCCUCAUUCUACAGUAUGAAGAGAAGAACAAGUAAAAGUGGUCCUCCAUCAGUAAGUUAUUAACAAUUACCCAAUGGCAAGGUGGGAAAUUUGAUAGGAUAAAAAAAAAAAUCCUUAAAUGGACAUUUCAUUCAUUUGAAUAACAUGGAAAUGAAAUCCCAUGAGUGAAAUUUUAAUUCUUCCUAAUUAGGGGUAUUUUAAUUCCAUAGUAUAACUUAUUUUUAAAAUUACUUUUCAAAAAUUAAAAAAUUAAAGACCUUUUUAGAUAAGUUAUUUUUAAAAUUAAUUUUUAUUUUGAUUUUGUAAAACAUACAAAUUUUAGAUUCAAUUUAUAUAAUAUAAAUUAAGGGUGCUUUUGACAAUGACUCUAGGAAGCCUUUUUUUUUUAAUCCUAAAAUGUGUUUUUGAAAAAAAAAUAAUUAGGUGUUUGACAAAUUUUAGGAAACACUUUUAAAAAUUUGAAGAGUGUGUUUGACAUUGAUUUUAUAAAAUAAUUUUUUUUUUUACAUUUUUAAUACUUGAAAAAUAAAAUUUUUAUAGUGUUAGAAAAAUUAAAAGUGCCUCUUAGAAUCACUACCAAAUGGGGUCGAAAAAUUACUUAUAAUGUUUUUUUAGACAAACACUUGAUAGAUGAUUAUCCUAAAAACACUUUUAAAGAAAAUACUUUCACUAAAAACAUUUCUGAGUAGUAACAUUAAUUGAUUUAUUUUGUUAAAAAUAAAUAAUAAUAAUUUCCAAUACUAUUUAUAUGAUUUUAUAAAUAUUAUAAAAAUAUGGAUAUUAACAUAUUAUAAAAGCAUAAUUAAUUUAUUUUGUUAAAAAUAAAGAAUAAUUAUUCAAAAUUAAUAAUUGCUAAUACUAUUCUAUUUUAAAUAAAUAUAAAAACAAACAAAAUUUAAAAUUUUAAGUUAUAAAUGAGCUAAAAUUUUCAAUAUGUAUGCAUUUAUUACUUAAUUAUGAAGAUGACAUUGUGAAUUAUUUUAUUUGAUCUAUAAUUAAUUAAUUAAUUAUUUAAAUUUUGAAUUAUUCUUAAAAAAUUAUAUAUAUGUUUUAAAUUCUUUAAUAAAUCUUAUCAUUUUUAAAAGCAAAGUAAAAUAAAGAAUUGUUCAAUACAAAGUCUUGUUUAAUUUGAAAUUCAUUGUUAGGAAAGAAAAAAAAAUUCAGAAGAACAGUUCUCUAUUUUACUUUGCUUUUAAAAAUUGUGUUUAAAGAACAACAACCAUAUAGUGAUAUAAAUUUUUAAAAACAAUUUUGUUUUUAAAUCACACGACCAAAUAGGAUUUUAUUACCGGGACCCCAGAUCUUUCUGUUCUCAUACCUUGGAUCGUAUAGGUGCAUGUAAACUACUCUAUGCCUUUAGAUCUUAUGUAAUGGAAGCAAAAAAUAAAAUUUUAAUAUUCUAAGAUAUAAAGAAAAGUCAUUAGAAAACUUUACCUUUAAUUUAAACGUUUUCAAAUCAAUUUCGCUCAAUGAAGUUGAAGCUUGAACAGUUCGAAGGUCUCGUACACCCAAGAUUUUCCUCUCAAUGACUCGAAUUACGAUCUUAACACUCCAAAGUGUAGGCUUUGGGAGGGAGGAAUCCUAGGCUCUUUAUCUUUAGAGGUAGAAGACGACUAUCUUUCAAAGUGAUGAAAACCCUAACUCCUAGGGGGUAUUUAUAGAGUUUCCUUAUUAGGCUUAAGUGACUUGAGCCUACCAAGGCUUAAGUGACUUGAGCCUACCAAAGCUUAAGUCAUUUAAUUUAGUCUAAAAUGGGUCCUAAUUAAUUAAUUAACUAUAUAUGUCUAUUUAAUUAAUUAAUUCGCACAUUUUAAAGAACUUGUUUGCUAUUCCCUAUGCAACCUUGCAUAAUUAUCAAAAUGCUCUUAUGCACAAAAGUGAAUUGAGAGUCAAUCCAAACCUCAUAAACCGUACCACCAUGAUAUAUGAGCUCAGAGUGGGGAUUAUUGGGACCAAUAGGAGUAUUGAUUUCCUCAAAAUCCAAAUAUGAAGUUGAUUCAAUAUUCCAUUAAAGAGAAUCAACCGCACUUUUAGUACCUUAUAUAAAUAUUAACGAGACAAAACUCAGGCUUGUGACUUACUAUCCACUGUAUGUAAACUUCUCAUGAACUGAUGUUUGUAAUUUAAUAAGGUAGUAUUAUUAUCUAUCAAGAUUGCCUCUAUAAUCCUUGAGUUAUAGAUCUCAUUUAUCAUGUAAUCAAUUGACAUACUCUAACUCUAAGAAGUAUAUGUAAUGCCCUAAACCCAAGAGUAAAAUCAUAAUUUAAAAUAAUAAAUAAUUUAAUAAGGGUAAAAAUGUCUUUUCUUAUUUAAAAUUCCUACGUAUAAAUUAAAUAUUUUUUAUAUUCUCUACUCAAAAAAUCCUUUUACAUGUAGAUAGAAAAUAUCAAAGAGCGUAGGGUUUGAAUAUCAAUUUUUCAGGUAAGAUUUUAAUUCUUAAAUUAAUAUUUUAUAUUUGUUAAUUAGUUUUAAACACUUUAGAUAUCUUUUUGGAAGAUCUCAAUCUAGAUUAUGGUUUGUUAAAUUAAUUUUUAGAUCAAAAGACUGAAAAUUUAUGAAUGUGGAUUAAUUUAUGAUGAAAAUAUGAAAAUUUAGAAAAUUUUAAUUGAAUAGAAAAAAAUGAAUAAAAAAUCAAUGGAAGAAAAAAAAUUUUAAAAUUUUAAAAUAAAUAAAUAAAUUGUUUGUGGAGGCUUUAGAUUGGAAAAAAAGAAAAGAAAAGAAAAUGUGUAGAUAUAUUUACCAUGUGAAAAAAAUAAUAAAAUAAAUAAAUAAAUAUAAUGGGAGGCGUGUAGGUGGUUUUGUAGAAUGUUGUGGGAUUAAAAAAAUAAAAUAAAAUGAAAUUGGAGGACACCUGUGUUGCCAAAGUGUUGAGUUCACUAUAAGAAAAAAGGGUAAUAAUGACGCUUUUUAGGCGUCAAUAAAUGUAUACGAUGACGCUUCUCGAAAGCGUCCUUUUCGCCUCUGUCAAGGAAUGGGUGCAGGCAACCAUGUCGCUUCUAGACAGCGUCAUUGUUGAUUGGUUUAUAUUAACACGUUAAAAAACGUCAUUAUUGAUCUACCUAUGUUAACACUUACACUAGCGCCAAGGAAUGGCCAAAAUAUCAUUUGUCUAUUUCGACGCUAAAAAAAGUGUCAUCUUAUGUGGAUAAUAAUAUUGAAAAUCCCCUUGUUGAAAUGAUAUAUUUUGUAUGUCCUGUUAUAUAUAAUUUUGGCUGCAUGAUUAUUUAUAAAGUAUUAAACAAUAACUUCAAUAUUAAUAACUACAUCUUCCAAAAGAAAUUGAAUAAAUUUGGGAAUAAUAUAAUGAUAAAGAACUAAUGUCUACAUAGUUAAUUAAUACGCAAAUUUGUAAAUGUAUCAAAAUAUUUACAAGCAUAUUUUCCAACUUCAACAUAUAUAAAACAAGUACACAUGUACCAAAAAGCAAGGUCUCCAAAUUCCUUAUCAAAAAUAAUAUUACAAGAAGAAGAAGAAGAAGCCAAAAGUAUUUAUAGCCAAAAGUAUUUUUGUUUGGUAGCAUAUCCACUCCUGAACUUGAAAUCUUUUACCUGUAUACAUUUAAAAAAAAAAUAAUAGAAGAAACAAAUUAUGUUUAGUUAAUAUACAUGCAAUGAAAGUUAAAUCUAAAUCUAUAAAUGGUCCAUGAAAGAAGUGCAAAUGAGAAUAACUUGGUAUUUAAUGAGAUGUUAUGCUUCAAUGAAGAUGAAAAAUUGUUUAAUUUGAUACUUGUUUAUAAAAUAUUAAAAUACUUUUUUAGUUCAUUAUUAAGUUAGAGGAAACAAGUUAGGCUUUCAAUGGUAUAAAUUCUACAAUAUGGAAUGUAAUAUAAUAUUUUCUUAUCUAUGUCUAACAUAUCAAACUCAUUUCUCAGAAAUAAAUAUAUGAAUAUACCAAUAGGUAUGGUUUAUAAUUAGUUUCAAUCAUAAAUCAUCAUAUCUAGUAAUAUAAGACAUUUAAUAUUAACCAUUUGCAAAUGCCUUAAUUUCUUCUUACAACUUUCCUAUAUUACCAAAUUUAGUUAACUAAUAACAUUCCAUAAGGAAAAAAAGAGUAUUAAACUAAAAAUUAAAAGAGCAUAACCAAGGCAAUAGAAACCUACAAAUCAUUGGUUAAAUGUCAUAAUAACAACCAUUCUAAAACUUGCCUUUAUUUUCAAUUCCAAAAUUAUAACCCAAAUAUAAUAAUUAACCCUACACAAAAAAAAGCUCUCUACCAUCCCUCCAUCCAACAACAACCUGUUGAUGCAACAACAAUAACUUCUCCAUACAACAAUAACAAUUUCUCCAUGUAACAACAACAACAACAACAAUAACAAUAACAAUAACAAUAACAUUGAUGAUCAAUGGUGAUAAUUAUAUUAGUAAUAAUUUGAUUUGUUUAGUCCAAACAUAUAACAAUAACAACUUCUCUAUGCAACAACAACAAUAAUAAUGACAACAUUGAUGAUCAUGAUAUAAUAAUUUGAUUUAUUGAGUUCACAAAUUAUAUGCUUCUUCUCCAUACAACAAUAACAAAAAUAACUUCUCCAUGUAACAACAUUGGUGAUGAUGUAAUAAUUUGAUUUGUUAUAUUGAAAUAGUUUAUGUAUAAAACUAUUAUAUUCUAUCACUAUGGAGGAAAAAAUUACUUAUCAUGAGAUGAGAACUUAUGAGAAUCGUCAAAAUGUGAUCUACAACUCUUACUGGACUGAAAUGAGGGCAUCUGCAUACAUAAGAUGGUAAAUUAAAAAAAUUAGUCCAUUCAAGACUUCAUUAAUAAUGAAAAUCAAGCAUUUUAGAUGUUAAUUUAUACCUUCAGGCAUGGGUAAGAAUCAAUUGAGUUGCCAACAUAACCCACUCAGAUCGUACUUCAUUAAGCUCAACUUCACUAUACGAUUUUUUCCCUUUAAACUAAUAAUUAAUUGUACAUACAUGAUGAUUAGUUAAGUUAACAAAAAAUUACUAAAGUAUAGAAACUAAUAAAAUUUAUUAAUGAGUAUAUACAUUUGUGGAUAGGAGGCUUGGAUCAACAAUUAUAUCUUUCAUGUAUCUCAUCACAUAAUAACCACACUCCACACUUCCUAGUUGUCCUGGGCACUAUAGGCACACAUAUGAAUUAUNNNNNNNNNNNNNNNNNNNNNNNNNNNNNNNNNNNNNNNNNNNNNNNNNNNNNNNNNNNNNNNNNNNNNNNNNNNNNNNNNNNNNNNNNNNNNNNNNNNNUAUCUUACUCUAACCAAAUUAACUUACCACUACUUUUACCCAUGUCGGCUCCCUCUUUGAUGAUCUUUGUUUCUCUGGUGGAUGAAUUCGUAGUGCCCUACAUGGAAAAGAAAAUUAACAUUUUAGAUACUAUGCACUAUAUUCAAGUAUGGAAAUGAAGACACUUACAUGUUAACAAUUUCCUUAAGAUCAUCACAUGGUUGCUUUUGCAUCGGAUCAAGGUAGUACGCAGUCAUUGUCCUCAUAUCCAAUGCCACCAAGACCCAGUGGAAACUAUAAUAGUACAUUAGAUAUUAUUUAGUAAUUAGCAUUGAUUAAGCUAUUUAACAUUAAAAAAAAACUUAAUAUUUUUCAUAACUUACUCAGGGUUAUAUGGAAUAAAAAUGUAGUCAGCACGCUUUGCAUGCAUUAAACGAUUUGCAAUCAACCUUGACCUAUUUUCCUUUGUUGUCUCACCCAUUCCAGCUUUAGAGACUAAAGCUGGAUUGAUAAAAGCAAAUCGUUCGGUGAGCCUUGCAUUACUUAGCUUUUUCUGUAGGUGCCUGUUUAAAUUCCACAUACCUUGAUAAGAAAUGACCAUUUUACUUUUAUAUAUAUAUAAAUUAACACACAUUAGCAAGUUAUAAAAUUAUUUACCAUAUAUAAUAUAUGACACAAUUAGCCGACACUUUCUUAAAUGAAAUUAUCAUAUCCAUGUCUUCUUUCAUAAGGAAGGUCUUAAAACUCUCGCCAAAUACAUCAUUUGGGACCUCCACACCUUGUGCUUUCCCCUCAUUUAGCAUGAGACCUACUAAUGCAUCAAAAUUGUUGAUAUCUUGAGGGUUUUCACCAAUUUUCAAGUCAUUUUCUGUUGUUUUUUGUCUUUUCCCUUUGUGAGAUCCCUAUAAAAGAAAGCACCAUGUUUUCAAAUGAUAUACAUAUCUUUAUAAACUAUUUCAAAUGAAAAUAACACACCUUAAUGAAUUUAGUACUCAAAUUGACUAAAUGGGUUGGCCAUAAAACUUGGUAGCCCACUACCGCUCCAAUUGUUGUAGCUUGUCCAGGAAUGGGAAUAGGAAGUGGUGUAUUUGACUUAUAGGGAGCAUCCAAAACAACUAGGUAGUUGGGCCCACAAUCCAUUACAAUUAUUCCACCAGCCACUGUAUUUUCUCUGGUCCCUACUGCUAACUCACAUUUUCUUGCCUUCAAAAGUAAAUUAAAUUGUUAAUUUCAAUAUAAAAAAGAAUCAAUAAAUGAAGUUUAAAGUGCAUUGACUAUGUUAGGGCUAUAUUUAAGACAUAAAGUUACAUAUUUUAUAAGUAAUAGUUGUAGUGGAAUAGAAUAUUACUAGUAGUAAUUAUGCUGUAAUAGAAUCUACCUAAAAUGUAAGUAUCAAUCUAACAAAAAUAAAAGCAAUUGGAAGAAAUUAUUUAUGAAAAUUAUCUAGGAAUUUGUGACAAUUACGUCAUUGAACUAGGAAAUGUAAACUAAAAAUAACACACCUUCAUGUGUGGUUCUAUUUUCACAGGUAAGGUCUCCUCUUCAACUUUACGAAUUGGUUUCUCCACUACUUCUGGUAGAAGCAACAGUUUUGAUUUCAUGUUGGAACUACUCACAUCGGAUUGUGGUGUAGCAACUCCUAUCUGAGAUAGUCUCGCUAACACAUCAGCCUCAAACUUAACUUGACGUUCUUGAGUUGCUUUUAAAAUAUCCCUCACAACACGUUCUGACAUACUAUUGAAAUAUCAUCCAGGCGUGUAGUGCUUCCCUUUAGCUCGAACCCAACCAGUAUACUCAGGAGUACCUAGUGCUUGAGAAAGUAUGUCAUUGCUCCCACUAUAGCUUAUGCCACUCUCUUGAGACUCUUUUAUCAAUUCAUCCUAAAACAAAAGGAAGUUAUGAAGUUAACUUUCAAAUAAGUAAAACCAAAUAAGGUGUUUAAAGAUGUGAUUUUUGGGUACAAAAUGUCUACUUACUAUUUUUUCCAUUACCGGUAGGACCACAUCAUCAUAGUUGCCAUCUUUUUUUUGCAUUGCCCUCUUCCAAAGUAAACUUCUAUCAAUGCUUUCUAUGGAGCCAGCUUCAAUCAUCUAAUAGAAAUGGAAAAUUAAAGAUAGUUAUUAGAUGACACAUGUGGUUUUAUUUCUAUUUUUUUGUCAGAAAAGAAACAAUUAAGAAACCCAUAUAAAAUAUUCCUUCAUUACUUAUACAAUCAUAUAAAAUUAAACCACAAUAAGAACUAACAAAAACUUACCAUCUCUUCUUCAAGUCCAGCAUACCCUUUUCUACUUAGAUGAUGAUUAUAUAUAUGCUUCUUUCUUCUCUGUUUUUGUACUUCCCUAUAUUCCUAAAAAUUAAAAUGGAUGCUUAGUAUAUAUAUGUGGAUGCAUGUAGUAUGUUUAAUGUUAAUUGUAUUUGUACCUGGAAUUUUUCAGACAACCUAGUUUUCACAAAAAUAUUCCAAUCUUCAUCAUCGAUAAAAUGAUAUUCAGCUGGUGGUUUCUUAAGAAGCUCUGGCUGAUCUUUGAAAGGAAGAAUAUGUUUCACAGUCAACGUGUUCUUAAAAGAUCGAAAACAUUUUCCCAAUGUAAGCAUACAAUUCCUUCUACUUUUCUUGUCUAAUGUAAAAGCAAUCUACAAAUUAUAAAGUCAUUAGUUUCUCAAAAUUUGAAAGAAAUAUAGAGAUUGUAGAAAACUUAUUUAUGUUAAAAAAAAAAGUAACCUCAAUAGAGUCCCACAACUUAUCCUUCAAUUGUUCAGGGACAUCUCGCCAUGUGUUAUAUCUGAUUGGUACCAUCGUACGUGCCAAUACACCUAAGUAGCUUGUUAGGUGCACAGAAGAUUCUCCUACAUAGAUACCAUCAACAUUGUACUUUAUGACCAACUUUAUCCCUCUAUUCCUAUUCCUUAUAAUCAUGGAUUUCCUUGUUGUCCCUCUAUAUUUUUUUUGUGAAGGGGUUUUCUCUUCCUUUGAAUCCAUGCCUAUAACACAUCAAUGAGAAAUGAUAAGUAUACCCAUUAAUUGCAAGUAAAAUUGAAUUUUUUAUAACAUGAACUCAUAUUAGUAACAUGAACAUACUAGGAACAUUUUACAUGCUAGAUAACAAUAUUCACAUGUUGUCAUGAAAUAUUUAAAAAUAAUAAUAAUAAAAACUUACUAGAAGAUCCUCACCAAACUUUUUUCUUAUGGAACUAGAAAUCAUAAGCUUUGAGCUGAGACAAAUUGAUAUCCUUGUAUUACCCUUUAGAUCACUCUGAGAUAUGUGUAUAAUAAUAAUCAUGAAAUAGGGAAUCAAUAAAUUUAGAGACAUGAUGAAUUUAAUCCACUUAGAAAAUAAAUAAGCUAUUUACUGAAAUGCAGAAUUUCAAUAUUAACAAGUUAAUGGGAUAGUUACAACCUUCAUAACAAAACAACAAGGUCAUAAAUUUAGUUACAUAGAAGAUUUGUUAUCAAUCCAGAAUCCCUCACAGUCUCCUCGAAUGCAAAUGACAUCAGAGUCAUCCAUUGUAUCAAAUGAUUCAACUUGUGCCAAGGUGGUAAUGAGAGGAUGGUGUUCAAUAGAAUUAUCCAUGAAGUCAUCAGAAUCCUUUGCUGAAAAUGAGAAGUCCCUUUCAGGAGUUGACAAAACAACUGACCAUCUUGGAUCAAGUUGGUUUUGUACAUAGAAUACUUGCUUGGCUUGGGAGGCUAAAAUAAAUGGAUCUGAUUUAUGAGCCAUCUUAGUGAAGUCAACUAAUGUCAGCCCAAACUCAUCAACUUUGAUGCCGCUCUUAUUAUCAACCCAAUUACAUUUGAAAACUGGAAUCCUAAACAUGGUAUAAUCAAGAUCCCAUAUCUCAGUAAUAAUACCAUAGAAACAUAGCUCACUAAAUACUGGAUUCUUAUCCUUGGCACUAGAAAUUUGCAUUGUUGUUGCUACAAUGCUAACUCCACUAUUCUGGGUAACUCGUAACUCAUCACGGUCUUUUGUGUUGUACUGACACCCAUUUAUAACAUAGCCAUGAUACUUGGCCACGUAGUGGGUAGGACCAUGUGCCAUCCAUCUUAAGGUUUCAGAUAUAGGUUCUUUGUCAGCAAUGACAACUUCUACCUGUUUGAAUGGACCAUAGUUAUUAAUAUUUUUUAUGAUAAGUGCUAAGAAUGGUGCAAUUUUUAGAAUAAAUUCAAUACCUUUUUUCGCAACCAAUGAGUGAAUGUUCGCAUGUGUUCUUCUUGUAGCCACUUUUGUCUCUUAGAUUGACGAGGAUUGUUCAAUUUCAACCAUUUCAUGUGUUCUCUAUAAGAUAUGUAUAAGAAAGUAACAAUAAGUUUCCAAAAUUAGUUUAAGUAAUCUACACAUAAAAUCAAAAUAGUUGACCCUUACUCGAUAUAAGGUUGGAUGAUAGUUGUAUUUUCCAACACAUAAUGAUGUGCUUGCAACAAAAAAUUACAAUCAACUUCGGUGAUAUGACCUCCAGGAAUAGGCGCCCCAACUUUAUGGUCAACAUUAGUGCUACUAGGAACUCCAAUUGCAUCCACAUUUGAUAAGUACUCUGUACAAAAUUCAAUAGCUUCCUCUGCAAUGUAGCAUUCAACAAUGCAACCUUCAGGGUGGUUACGGUUUCACACAUAACCCUUUAAUACUUUCAUGAACCUUUCAAAUGGGUACAUCCAUCUAAAAUAAACCGGUCCACAAAGUCUCACCUCUCUAACAAGAUGAACCGUUAAAUGAAUCAUGAUAUCAAAGAAGGAUGGCGGAAAGUACUUUUCAAGCAAGCGCAAUGUCACAACAAGUUCAUUUUGUAACUUAUCCAAUGUAGACACAUCAACCACCUUCUUACAUAAAGCAUUGAAAAAAAGGCUCAAUCUAGCAAUAGCAUGUCGUACAUGCUUUGGCAAAAGUGAUCGCAAUGCCACUGGUAACAAUUGUUGCAUCAGUGUAUGAUAAUCAUGAGACUUCAGGCCAUAAAGGUUCAAAUCUUCCAUUGACACAAGAUUUCUAAAGUUUGAGCAAUACCCUUCAGGAACCUUUAACUCAGCUAAAGUUUGACAAAAUACUUUCUUCUCCUUUCUAGACAAUGUAUAACAUGCAAGCGGAAGGUAAGUUCGAUUCGAUUCAAACCUUAGUGCCAGUUUACACCUUAAGCCCAUGUCCAUAAGGUCCAGACGAGAAUUGAGUCCAUCUUUUGUCUUCCCUGGGAUGUUAAGUAAUGUACCAAUGAUGCUUUCACAAAUAUUUUUCUCAAUGUGCAUUACAUCCAAAUUAUGACGAACAUGCAAAUAUCUCCAAUACUCAAGUUCAAAGAAUAUAGACUUUUUCUUCCAACAAUUGGUAUAAGUCACAUUGGAUUUUUCAUGUCUUCCCCUUUUUUUCCCCCAUGAAUUACAAAUGACAUUCAUUUUCAAUAGUAUUUCCUCUCCACUUAAUGGUUGUGGAGGUGAUCGAAACUCCUGCUCACCAUUGAAUGCCUUUCUAUGUUUUCUAAAAGGAUGAUUGCAUGGAAGAAAACGUCUGUGGCCUGUAAAUGAGUUCUUUCUCCCAUGCUUUAACCUAUGUGAAUAGGUUUCCGGUCCAUAUAUUGGACAAGCAAAAUAUCCUUUGACUAUGCAACCAGAUAAGUUUCCAUAUGCAGGAAAGUCAUUUAUUAUCCAUAAUAGAACAACCCUUAAUGUAAAGACCCCUCUUUGAUAUGCAUCAUAAGCUUCUACCCCUAUCUCCCACAAGGUUUUAAGGUCCUCAAUCAAUGGUGCUAAAUAGAUAUCUAUGUCAUUUCCAGGUUGUUGUGGACCCGAUAUUAACAAAGAUAACAUCAUAAAUUUUCUCUUCAUGUACAACCACGGUGGAAGGUUAUAAGUGAUCAUGACAACUAGCCAACAACUAUACCUGCUGCUCAAAGAACUAUGGGGAUUUAUGCCAUCUGCUGAAAUGACAAGUCUAAGGUUUCUAGGUUCUGCAGCAAAAUCAGGCCAUCUAUGGUCAAUUACCUUCCAUGACGGCGAGUCGGAUGGAUGACGCAUUUUUCCAUCAAAUUCUCCACCUUCUGCAUGCCAUAUGAGGUCUUUUGCAAUUUUUGAGGACCGAAACAUUCUUUUAAAUCGUGGGAUAGGUGGAAAAUACCACAUUACUUUAGCAGGAACUCCUUUACUCUUUUUGCUUCCUCUUCUAUUCACCUUCCACCUUGAAGCUCCACAUGUAGGACAUGAAGAUGCAUCUUUUAACUCAUUCCUAAAAAGUAUGCAAUCAUUGGGACAUGCAUGUAUUUUUUCAUAUUCCAUUUCCAAUGCAUUCAAUGUUUUUUUUGCUUCAUACAUAGACAAUGGCAACUCAUUGUUUACAGGCAACAUAUCACCAAGUAAGCUUAAUAGCUCGGAGAAGCUUUUAUCAGACCACCCAUAUCUUCUUUUCAGAUUGUAUAAUUUAACUAAAGUAGAUAAUUUGGUGAAGUUUUUGCAAUCGAGAUACAAAGGUUUUUCAGCAUCUUCAAGCAACCUUUCAAAUAAUUUUGGAUUAGCCUUACAAUCAUCUUAUGCAGCUUCAACCAUUUCUACUGUAUGAUCCACAUUACCAAUAUGAAUUCUAUCAAAACAUUCAACCCUUGUAGUUAGGGGUCCACUACUUAGAGCUGCCUCCCCAUGCCAAAACCAAGUAUGGUAACUUUGGUCAAUUCCAUAAAAGAAUAGGUGUUCUCUAAUCUUUUGAGGAGUAUUGAAGAUCAAAUUUCCACACUAUAGACAUGGGCAUUUGAUGGAGUUUUGAUUUGCAGAAUUUUGAACUGCAAAUGAAAUGAAAUUUUCAACCCCAUCCUCAUAGUCUUUUGAUCUUCUAUCUUUUGACAUCCAGGAACGAUUCAUUUGCCUAUAAUAGUUGAACACAAUUCCUAUAUAGCAAACAUAAGCAAACAAUGGAAAUGGAAAAGACUUAGAAAGUUACCUUUAGAAAACACUCAAAACUUUCAGUUUCUCAUUUGUGACAUCCAAAAUUUCUUUUAAACUUUCUAUGGACAAACAAUUAGGAUUCAAGUGCAAUAAAAAAUUUGAACCUCAUCCUUAAUAAAAAAAAUGAUUAACAAUAUGACAAUAGAACCUUUUGAUGCAUGUUUUUAUGCCUUUUAACAUGUCCAUCAUCCAAAAUCAGGUAGUUGUUCCUAUCCCAUGUAGGAAUACAUAAUCCCUAUGUGUUAAUUGCCAAUAUACUCAAUUUCAUUUUAAAGAAAUUUUGGCAGCAUUUCCCCAUAGUUCUCCAAGUACACAAAAUGAACAAGGUAUAAUAUGUGACCUUGUUCAAAUAUGCACCCAAAGAACAAGAGGAAAUACUACCAAAAUUUCUAAAAAGUGAAUUAAGCACAAGCAAUUAACUUCAUAGAUAUUAUGUUUUCCUACACUGUCCAAUCGGACAAUUCAAACAUCAUUGCAAAAAAAAUAUCUUUAUCACAUUCUAGACAAUUUAAAAGUUGUCAACUUGAAAGUGGCUUAGGUAAAACCUUUUUCACCUUUGACAACUUAAAUGUCUUUAGUAUGUAAUAAGAGAAACUUUUAUCUUACAAUGAUAGUUGAAUGGGAACUCUAAGGUUUCAUGCAUGCAUGUUUGAUUAAAAUUAAAACACAAUUACUUAUUGAAUAAUCUAAUAAUUAUAAAACACCUAAAGUUGUUCCAUAAUUAUUGCUAUAUUUCAUCAUUAAACAAGAUUAUUAUGAGAAAGCAUACGUAUGGCCCAUGAUUUGCGAAUCAAGUCACACCAGUCUAUGUCAUAGCCUUGGGUCAAAAUUUGGGCCUUGGUAUCAAACUAAGCUAGGGAAUAACUCGUACAAUUCAGGUACUCAAUAAGAUUUAAACAAAAUUUAAAAUAACGCUUCCAUUAUAUUCUUUUGACCACCCAAAGUAAAAAUGGUAUUAUGAUUAAAAUAUGUUGGUUUGUAUAAGGAAAAAUAGUGUACCUUCCUCACUCUGUCUUUGUCUCAAGUCUUGCAUCACACACCUCUCGUAGUCCAAUGUAGGUCACUGUCUCUUAAAAUAUGUAUAUGCAAAACAAAUAAUAAAUAAAGAUAUAAAAUAAAUCCAUUAGUAGAUAUUAACAAAUAAAUACAAAAUAAAUUAAAAUAAGAAAUAAACUAAGAAGAAAAAACAUAUAAGUAAGAAAAAAAAGAUUUUCACAUGUGCAACAAUGGUUAGAUAUUUUUAAAAAUUUAUAAAAUUAUUAAAAUCAAACUAUUUUAGUUAUUAUUUUUUUAAAAUGGUAAUUAAUACUCAUAUAAAAUAAAAUAUAUGCAUGAUGAGAAAGGUAAGAAGAUUAUUCCUUGUGCCCUUUUUCAUUUGAGAUUAUGACUUUUGGUGAUGACCUAAUGGUGGGUGAACCGUGAACCACACUAUCUGACCCGGGUCAAGUCCUUAGGGCAAGAAAGAUGACUGCAAGAUGGGUAGAACUUAAACGAAUGAGAUAGAAAAGUCUGGUCUAAAUUAAGGUGGCUUAACAAUCCGUAAUCAUCUUGGUUAGGUUGUAUCAUAUUGUGAAAGAGAAGUUACAGGCUAGGUCUUCAGCAUCCAGCAAUUCCACCCUUUGAUUUUUCCAACAUGUUGCACCAUCUAAUAAUAAUACCUAUGAUCCUAUACCUUAGUUUUGAUUCCUUAUGUAUACAAAGUAUAUAUGGUUACACUACAUUAAAGUUAUUUUUUUUCUCUAAAAAGUAAUUAGUGUAAAUUUUAAAAGUAGGCUAAUAUUCAUUUUUUUUUUCACUUCUUAUUUUUUGUUUUGAAAAUAGAAAAUAGUAACAACUCUUAUACAAAAUAUUUUACUAUUUUUUGUUUUUAAAAUAGAAAGUUAGAAAUUGCAUUUUAAAAGCAAUAUUCUAUUUCAAUCCACACAAAUGAUACAAGUUUUGAAAUAUUCCAUUACCAUAUUUUGAGUAAUAUUUUUAAAGGGUUAAUUUAAUUCAUUUCCCCUCAAGAUUUGACUAAAUAUAAUGGCACCCGAUAAUAUGAAAUUUGAAGAAGUCCAUAUACUCUUCAAGUCUAUAAUUAGAAGUUCCUAGUAAGUUGUCACCCAUACUAAUGAAAUUUCUUGAGUCAACAUUAAUCUCGAACCUUUUUGCUACCUUCAUUACCUAUUUUGCCCCUUUACCACCUACUUAGUCCUCUUUACUUUGACCAUGUGUGUUUCUCUUACUUGCCCCUCUACUUUUAUGAAAGAAGCAUAUAGAAGAAGCCCAUUCAAGUUUUUAAUUUUUCUUUGUUUGGAUCAUUCCUUGAAACCUUCUAAAAUUUCCCUUGUACUUAGCCUCAACAUUACAGGUCCAAUAAAACUCUUAUAAAUAAAAUUAAAAGUGUAAUAAAUAUUAUAAAAUUAUUUUAUUAAAAAAAUUAAUAUAUAUAUAUAUAUUGUAAUUAUUAAAUUAUAUAAAAUCUUAUUCAAUAAUAAUAUUGUGAUAUUUAAUUAUAAUAUGUUUAAUUUUAAAAUAUAUUUAAUAUUAAAAUUAUGAUAUAUUUAAUUAAUAUAUUAGUGAUAUUAAAAACUUUUUACAAUUUAAUUAAAUAAAAAAAUUAUUUACAUAUAAAAUAAUUAUAAUUAAUUUGUUGUUUAAAGGAUUAUUUUAAUAUUUUGUGUAUAUAAAAACUUUUAAUAUAUAUAUAUAUAUAUAUAUAUAUAUAUAUAUAUAUAUAUAUAUAUAAUCAUAAGGGUUUUGAUUUCAACAAGGUAUAUUUUAUUAAGUAAAGAAAGAAGGGCAGCUUCCUUGAACUUUCAAUCCCAACUUGCAGAUUUUACACCUUCGGCAUCACAGGUAUAUUGAGGAGGACAAGGAAAAGUGCCAUCAACGUAUCCUAAGAGGUCGUUGCUAAUUAAAACAGGGAGGAAUUUAUCUUUCCAGAGAAGAUAGUUGGUGGAAUCAAGUUUGAUUGGUAAUAUUCGGUGCAGCAAGUAGAGUGGAAGAAGGCAGUGAAUUCGAAAUAAAAACUGAUAAGAAUGUGACAAAGAAGAAGGAAGAACAAAAGGAUAUGAUGGUGUAGAAAAAUAAGAAGAAGAAAAGAAUAGGGUGAAGGAAUUUAUUUGAGGAGAAUAGGAGAUGACAAAGUUGAUACCUGAGUCAAGAAGGGAGGAAGAGCAGUGGUGGAGAUGACAGAUGGAGGUCCGGCAAGAGUGCUAGGAGGCAAGGACUUAAAAACCUGGGUCAACGACGAUGCCGCUAAGGACGAAACUUGGCUGGGAAUAUCAAUAUGUGCAGCAGACAACAGAAUAGAUGAUGUUUCAAUGGAUGAGGAAAUUUCAGCAGUGGAAGAUGGUGUCGCAGCCAUGGCAGAGGAGAUUAAGAGAGGAUGCAGCAGGAAAGAAAUUGCUAGAACAAUGACAGCGGCAGGUUUAGAAUCCUUUCAACACACCAAAUUUAGAGUCAGACUUGACAGCCUUUCAAAGACGCGGAGGCAUAGAAUAUUCUUGAUUAAAAUAUGUGAGAUCAUAAGCACCAAGGAAAUCAACGACCCCACCACAGCUAUUGCCACUCUCCGCCUCUUCUUCCACGACUGCAUGGUCGAAGGCUACGACACCUCAGUCCUCAUCUUCUCCAACUCCUUCAACACCGCCCAGCACGACGCCGACAUCAACCUCUCCCUCCCAGGCAAUACUGUAUCAAUACAUCCAGAUUGUACGAGUCUUGCCUCUCUAGUCAUCAGUCAUCAUUCAUGACUUUGUAGGAGGGAUGAGGUAGACCAAACAAAGCCUUCGGAUGGGCUCAAAUCUAGCCACAUCCAAGUUCCAAAUUCCUAUCCCCUAAAGUAAAAUUUAAAUUAUUAUUAUUAUUUACAUUCUGUAGAAGUUUCUUCUUUAAAUGAAUUUUAUUUUUGAGAAAACUUGCUAUGGAAAGUCUGCAUCUUGAUUUCAACCGAGACAAACCCAUAUCUUUUGGACCUGGUGCCUCUCCCAAUCCUUGACUGCCCAACAACUAAAAUUCAAACCCAAGCCCACCAAAGAAAAUUUUAAAACACGUCAUGCCUUUGCCAGUUGUUCCCCUCUCAAUACCAUUUAAAAAUCCCCCAUUCUGUAGCUUUCUCAACUGCUGCAGUCGAACCUGUCUUCUCCUUGGUGUACGAACACGACACGUCCAUACCUACAGGCGGUAGAGGCUACACCUCCUUUCCCACGCCCUUGUGCUGGUGCGUGAGCCACCCACCACAUUACCCUCAAGCUCCAUCCCGAUCACCAUGCUGGCUACUACAUCUCCAUGGCAUUACACUAGGCAAAAACAAGGCGACACUUCCCACCACAACUAAAAGGAGAAGCUGAAAUUAUACCUAUUACAACUUGCAGCGUACCAUACAACAACAAGAACAAAAAAUGCACUGUAUUUAUUUGGGAUACCAUUACCCUGAUUUUCUCCUCCCAAAAUAAUUUCCCCAUCUAUGAAACAAUAAUAUUAGAUUUUUGGAACAAUGAAAACCCUUCCAUUUGUCUUCAUUUGUACUAAUCUAUUCAAGUUUGAGGAAAACAACAUUACUUGAGAAAGAGAUUUACCUGUAACUAUGAUGCUCUGUAGUAGAUUUUGACAAUGGUAACCUCCCAUGCAUGGAAGUUAGACAUGGCCAUUCCAACGGAUUAGGGCAUUUUAGUGGUGGACUUAGUGAGAGCUAUAGGGUUUCGGGGUUUCUUCAGUUCUGAAAUUGUGGAGGGAAUGUCUGGCGGGUACUUGUAGAAAGGGAAAAACAUUUAAUUAAUAUAUAUAUAUAUAUACUAUUAUUUAAUGUCACCUAAUAUAAGUGCCAUGAAAUAUCACAACUAUGACACUGCUAUAAAGUGUCAUGGAAUAACCAGUUAUUCUUAUAAGUGCCACAACAAGCAAUGAUACUUUAAAUAAGCGCCAUGAAAUAAAAAAGCUAAUAUAAAAAAUGACCCUUUUGAAAAAACGCCAUUGUAUAUCCAAAUAUAAUGAUACUUUAUGAAAGCGCCAAUGAUUAAAGCGUCAUAAUUUUCUAUUUUUGUAGUAGUGGUUAGACAUUGGAAAAUAUUGUAUAUAUAAAUAUAUUAUUAUAAUAAUAAAAAUGAGAAGAAACAUGAGGAUUACUAUUUUAGUCUUAGGACUUUUGUGUGUAAUGAAGAUAGGAGGGUAAUGAGUUGGUUAUGCAUUGAAUUUGAAAAUUAAUAAAAAUAAUAAUAUUUAGUUUUAAGCUAACAAAGGAAAUAUUAGCAAUAAUAACAGUUUAGUGCAAUAAAUACAAAAACAAUAUAUUUUUGAGAAAUGUAGUUUAAAAAUAAUAACAAUAAAUUAAUGGAAUUUGGAGGAUAAAUUUUGGAAAGAACCCAAUUUUUAGAAGAAUUUAAAAAAUCACAUGUUAAAUUAUUAUUGAUUAAGAAGUUAAAAAUAAUAGGUGACAUAAUAUAGAAAAUUUCAAUCCCAUCCUACUUAUUUAAAAUAAUUAUCAUCCUCGUGCUAGUAAAAGAGAAAAGAAAAAUAGAGUGGGGUGGGUAUAUGAAUUUACCAUAUUAGUCUCACCUCACCCUGAUUAAAGUCUUCUUUUCUAAAUUAAAUUUUAAAAAAUUUAAUUAAAUAAAUGUAUUUUAUAAAUAAUUAAAAUAUUAUAAUUUUUAUAACUUAUUUUAUUGCAAAGUAAUUAUUUUUAUUAUUUUAUAUGUAUUAAAAAUGGGGAAAUAAAAAAUUUAAAUUAAAUUAUUUUUUGAAAUUCAUUUUAUAUAUAAUUAGGGUGAGAUGGGAUGAGACAAGGCAAAAUCUGAAACUAUCCUGCAUUUAAAAAAAAAAAAAGAAAAUCUCAAACUUGCCUCACGUUUAAAAAGAAAAAAAAUCUCAAACUUGCUCAUAACUUAUUUAUUUUAAUUCCAAACCAAUAAGGUGGGACGAGGGCCUGUAGCCAUAGAAGACUUGUAGGGAUUUUACCCGAAAAAUCUCACUCUAUUGUUAUCGUACUCCUAUCCAAGUUGAUAGUCAACUUGUAUACCUUGUUUUUUUUUUUUUUCAAUAUUCAAAUAAAUCACAAUUUAAUUUUAAUGGUCUUUAAACUAAAAGUUCAAUUAAAUGAAUUUUUUCGUGUCAUUAGCUUUCACAACCUCGUAAGUGCUAAUAAUAUUCAAUUUCAAAUAAUCAUCAAAGUCUAUACAACCAUUUCUAAAUCAAAUGUUCUCAUAGUUUAUUUUCAACCAAUCAAAGUAUAAUUAAAUUACAUAUAUCCAAAUUCCCCAAAUAAAUACACAUCUAAUUUCCCCGUUGCUUGGUAGGAGGCCUUACACCCAACAGGGUUAACAAGUAAUAAUCAAAGACUAAAAAUACAUGAAAUAUUGUAAAAUUAUAAAGUGACAUGAGAAGAAAACAAGAAAGAGAAAUCAGAAUGUAGGAAGAGAAUAGAAUUUCAUUAGAGGUAUUUCCCUUUUAUAGGGAGUCACAAAGAGAUAUACAUCAAUAUGGAUGAUCAUCCACAAGUUCCCAUAAUCCGAUAAAUUCUCAUAUUUUAUAACACUCCCCUUUGGAUGAUCAUAAGAAUAUGCCUCAUUAAAACCUUACUAGGAAAAACCCCAUGGGAAAAAACUUUAGUGAAGGAAAAAUAGUACACUAUUCUUUUGGAUUACUAUAACUACCUCGUUAAAAACCUUGCCAGUAAAACCCAUUGGGACAAAACCUGGAUGAAGGAAAAAAAAGUGCAGUAUAUCCAUAUUAUCAUUCUCCCCCUCAUGUAAACAUGAUUAUGAUUUCUUCAACAUUUCAAAUGGUAGAUCUCUCAAUCUUCAUAUUCCAAAGUCAUACCUUAACUUUUUCAAUGUGGUCAAAGGUAACACCUUUGUGAAUAGAUAUGUUAGAUUAUUUCAUGUAUUCAAAUAAAAUAAAUUUUCCUUCACUAAGGUUUUUUCCCAUGGAGUUUUUCUUAGUAAGGUUUUAAUGAAGUAUAUUUUUAAGAUCAUCUAAGGGGGAGUGUUAUAAAAUAUGAGAAUUUAUCAGAUUAUGGGAACUUGUGGAUGAUAAUUCAUAUUGAUGUACAUCUUUUUACGAAUCCCUAUAAAAGGGAGAUACCUCUAAUGAAAUUCUAUUCUCUUCCUACAUUCUGAUUUUUUUUUCUUAUUUUCUUCUCCUUUCACUUUAUAAUUUUAUAACAUGUUAUCAGCACGACUAGUCUCUACAAAAGAAAUAGAAAUAUUUUUCUCUAUUCAGAAAAAUAACAAGAUAUUCUUUAUUCUUUCUCACAAAAAGGUAUGUGAUAAACUUAUAUCAUGAUUUUCUAUUUUAUUACCUUUGAUCUCUAUUUUCAUUUAUUUUAUUUGAAUAUAUAAAUAUAUAUAAUCUCAAUAACCGGAAGUUAUGGGGUAAAUUCAUAACCAGAAGUUAUAAAAAUUAUGUGCAAUUCCUAUAACCAGAAGUUAUGAGGAAAAAUUAGAAAAUUACAUAUACAUAACCAGAAGUUAUGUAUAUGAUCUCUAAUUAUUUAUUUUUAAUUAUACGGUAUAACUGAAUGUUAUACCAAACAAUAUUAUAUAGCUAGAAGGUAUAAAAUAAAUAAAUAAAUAAAUGUUCAUAGCCUGAUUAUUUUGUCAGAAUAAGAAAAUAUUUAAAUUUGUACAUAACUUAGGCCAUGAUUAUUUUGUCAGAACAAGAAAAUAUUUAAAUUUGUACAUAACUUAGGUCAUGAACUGUUUUUUAUAUAAAUUUAUAUAUAUCUUCAGGCUAUGAACUAUUUAUUGUGUAGAUUUGUGCAUAACUUCGGGCUAUGAACUUUCAUUAUGUAGAUUUGUACAUAACUUCAAGCUAUGAACAUUUAUGUAUUUAUUUACUUUAUAGCUUCUGGCUAUAAUAUUGUUUGGUAUGACAUCCAGUUAUACCGUAUAAUUAAAAAUAAAUAAUUAGAGAUUAUAUACAUAACUUCUGAUCAUGUAUUUGUAAUUCUGUAAUUUUUCUUCAUAACUUCUGGUUAUAGGAAUUGCACAUAUUUUUCAUAACUUCUGGUUAUAAAUUUACCCCAUAAUUUAUAAUUUACCCCAUAACUUCUGGUUAUAGAGAUUAUACAUAUUUAUGUAUUCAAAUAAAAUAAAUGAAAAUAGAGAUCAAAAGGUAAUAAAAUAGAAAAUCAUGAUAUAAGUUUAUCACAUACCUUUUUGUGAGAAAGAAGAGAGAAGAUCUUUCUAUUUUUUUGAAUAGAGAAAAAUCUUUCUAUUUCUUUUGUAGAGACUAGUUGUGUUGAUAACGUGUUGUAAACUUAUAAAGUGAAAGGAGAAGAAAAUAAGAAAGAGAAAUCAAAAUGUAGGAAGAGAAUAAAAUUUCAUUAGAGGUAUAGGGAGUCACAAAGAGAUAUACAUUGAUCAUUCACAAGUUUCCAUAAUCCGAUAAAUUCUCAUAUUUUAUAACAUGAAAAUAUUAAUAAGAUAUUUUAUUUUAUCCCGAAUAUGUAUAUAUAUAUAUAUAUAUAUCUUGGUAAUUAAUAAAAAAAUACAAAUGGACGUGAAUACACCCAAUCAUACGAUUCACUAUUCUUCUUGGGGUUUCACCUAAUGAUAUGUGUAUGUAAUCAAGUAUACUCUCCAUUUAGAUUUUUCUCGGGUCUAUUGUUAUGUCUUUUAUACUUGUGAUCACGCUCUUUUCUUAAUUUAUCCUCUUAUGUGACAUUUCUUUUUUGUCUCUCAUUUUUUUUUUUCCAUUUUACACCACCUUUCCUCAUUAUAUAUAUAUAUUCACACAAUUAUGAUGCAAAUAUAAUAUAUAAUAUGAAACUAUUAUUUUUAGAACAUAUUUUUAUCUUUUAAAUUGACUCCAAAAUUUAAAAAUUCAAUACACAUUUUUUUUUUAAUUCUCAUGAAUUAAUGAUCAUUUCAUUUUCCUCUAGCACUAUUUUAUCAACAUCAAUAAAAAUAUAAUUUAAAUAACACUCAUAUACCAAAUCACCCGUGGAUAUUACAAGUAUUAACAUAUUUAUUUCAUGGCAUAAUAUUUAUAACUUUUUUCUUAAAAAUAUAUUAAAUAAAUUUUUUUGGGAUACAUCGCCCUACCAAAAACUGCGAACCUAAUCGUUAUUUUUGAAAUUGAGCUUUGUAGCCAUAUUCCCCAAAUAAAAGGUGGUUUGUUUCAACGAAUUUCUGUUUUUAUUUUCAAAGAAAACAAAAGGUAGGUUUUAAAUAUGUUUAGACAAUGUUUUACCGGUUUUUGUUUUCUAGAAAUCUAAAUUCAGAAAAUGGAAAAAAAAAAAAUGAAAACAUCAAUUUGUUAUUUUCAAAAUUUUAUUAAGAAAGGUGAAAACAAUUUUAAAAAAUAUUCAAAACAAAGAAAAUAAAAAUAAAAAAGACCUUAUGGGAUUGAUCAUAAUAUAAAAAAAUAAAUACAAAUAUUGUAUAUAUAAAAAAUAUUAAUAUAAAUAAAACAUGAAAUAAUAAGUAAUGUAUAAAUAUUUGGUUUAUUUUUUGGAUUAGAGAUUAUUUAUAAGUUGAUAUAUUUUUUGAAUAUAAACUAAUUCAUUUUAAUUGAUUAGUCAGAAGAUUAUUAGAAUAUUUUAUUACAUUAUUUUAAAACAAAAAUAAUAUAGUAAAGAAAAUAAAAAAGAAUAAUGAACAAAUACAAGGAAAGCGUGACUUUAUAGUAUAUAUGUUAUAACACAUAACAUAAAAAAUAAUCAUAAUUAUAUAAAAUUUUAAUUAUAUUUAAUUUCACAAUUUUUAAUAAAAACUUAAAAUCAAAAUUUUUUUUUGCAAAUUUUAUUUUUUAAAAGCAGAUUUCAUUUUUCUUAAACAAAAUGUAUUUUUUAAGAAAAUAAAAAAUAGAAAGUGAAAAUUGUUUUGAAAAAAUAAAAAUUAGAAAAGCGUUUUUCAAAUUAAAUACAAUCAAUUAAUUUCUUUUCUUUUCUUUUUUGUGAAUGUAGAUACAUUAUUGAGUCAUUAAAUCUUGUGUUAAAGUGUAGUUUUUUUUUUUCAUUUAUUUUAUUUUCUUGUUUAUUAUUGACUUGCUUCCGGAUAACAUCGAGAGUUGCAAAUACAUCUUAUGAUUGAGUACAAAUAUUAGGUCUUGUCAUUUUCUCAAGUAGGAAAAGAUACGGGUGUUUCGAUGAAUUGAAUUAAUAGUGUUAGGACAUUUGCUUUGUUUUUUUGGUUGAUAAUUUUGUUUCUUUUCAUUAUGAUAUAUGAUUUUUUUAAAUAGUGACAUUUGUAGAUGAUGACUUACUCUUUACUGAAGAUUUGAGACUGUCGUUUAAUUAAUCGGAUGGUUAUAUGUAAAUUUGAAAAGAUUUAAGUAAAGACAAUUUUUUUAUAAGUUAGAGUUAGAUGGAAAGUUUUAAAAUUAAGUUAAAAUAUUUUAAUUAAUUUUUAAAAAGUUGAGAUUUUAAUUUUUUUUAAAAAUCGGAUGUUAUCAUUAGGAAAAUGUCAUAACUUAUCCUACCAUUUUUGAAAGCUUUAAAAGGUUUUUUUUUUAUAAAUAAUUAUGGCUUGUUGAAGGGACCUACAUCAUCUCAGAGAUUGAGAUGAAUUCAGUAGAGUACUCGAGGUAUUGUGUCCCGAGGAUGUAGGUGGAAAGUAAGUGCAAGGUAAAACCAAUUUUUAUUUUUAUUUUUUUUUGUUAAAAACUCUUAAGACGAUGAUGAUGUUAUACAUAUGCAUAUUCAAUAGAUUCUGCAUCAUGAGCUCAAGCUGCUAGAUGCUAUGAAUAGGUCAGGACUGUGGAUGACAUGUGUUUGACACGUGGAAAUGAAGAGUGAGGAUGAGCAUCCAAUUAUUUUUAUCUUUAAUUCCCAUGUUUGAAUAAUUUAAAUUAUGAUGGGAAUGAAUCAAAAAGUGAUUCAAAUGGAAAUAAAAUCUUACUUAUAAGUAGGAUUUCAAUUCUCUCCAACUAGAGGUAUUUUGAUUUCUUAAUGUAAGUUAUUUUUAAAAAUACUUUUUAAAAAUUUAAAAACUAAACAUUUAAUUUUUUUGAAUAUGUUGUUUUUGAAAAGAAAUUUUUAGUUUUAUUUUGUAAAAAAAAAUAUUUUAAAUUAAGAUAAUAUAAUGUAAACUAAAUUUAAUUCAUGUCUUAUUAAAAAAUAAAAAUAAAAAUAAAUUAAAAAAUAAAUAGUUUUUAAUAAAUAUGAAUAUUAAUAAAAUAAUAAAAUCAGAAAUGGUAUAUAUUUUUUAUAAAUAUUAUAAAUAUAUAGAUAUUAACAUUAAUUGAUUUAUUUUGUUAAAAAUAAAGAAUAGUUAUUCNCNAAUUAAUAAUUUCUAAUACUAUCUAUUUUAAAUUAAUAUAAAAAAAUAAAAUUUAAUUUUUUAAGGUAUAAAUGAGCCAAAUUUUUUAUUAUAUGCAUAUAUUUAUAACCCAAUUGUGAAGAUGACAUUCUAAAUUAUUUUAUUUAUCUAUAAUUAAUUAAUCAAUUUUUUAAAAUUCAAAUUAUUCUUAAAAUUACAAGAUUUAUUAAAGAAUUUAUAGUAUUAAUUAUGUCUAUUAUUUUUAUAGUCAUUAUAUAUAUAUUUUUGAGUUUUAAAUAAUUUUUGAAAUUAUAAAACUUAUUAAUAAAUUCAAUACAAAUUCGAUUUGAAAUUCAUAUUUUCUACUAAAAAAAUCGAAAGAAUAAUUCUCUAUUUUAUUUUAUUUUUAAAAAUUGUUUUUAAAAAAUAACAAUCAAAUAGUGAUAUAAAUUUUUUAAAAACAAUUUUUUUUUUUAAAUCAUGCACCCAAAUAAGUUUUUAUUAUUUAGAAAAAAAAAACAAAUUCCUAAGGAUUUUUUCAAAUGAAAAUAAAAAAUUACUUCAAACAACGUAGAAUGUGAGAUUUUUUUUAUAAAUAAAAAUAAAAAUAAAGAAUUAUUUUAAAUCAGAUAUACAAAUAUUAUUAAUAAUUCUUUUUUUUUUUUUCAUUUUCAUUCCUAUUUUUAUUUAACAUUGAAAUAUAAUCAAAUUAUCAUUCCAAUCUUAUAUUCUUAUAUGCAUGCAAACAUAAAAAUUAAAAUUACCAAAUUCAUUCCUAUCAAUAGGGAAUAGUAGUAAAACAAAAUAUUCAUUUCCAUUCCCAUUCUUCGUUAUGCGUACCAAACAUGUCCUUAUCUUACAUAGAAUCUGGCCAACAUUAUAGGGCAUGUGGGGAUCGGGCAGAUGUUAAUUUGUUGGCCUGAAAUUGGAAAUCAUCAUCUUUAUGUCACUAAGAAGUAACUUAAUGAACCUAGCUCAAAUCCAUGCUAUGUUCAGUACAAGACAGUGAUGGUGCUAAAGACGAUAACCUAAUACGUGGGUCCCUUUUGCCUAUCAGGAAAAACAUAACACAUGCGUGCUUCCUGCGACUUCUUUCAUGAAAACUUUUCAGUCUAUUAUCCUUCGCAGUGCCAUUGAGAAACAAGUAUCUCCACAAAUUGGUUCCUCUGAUUUAAUUUGUCCAUUACAGAUAAUGGCUGUUCAAGUUAGCCUAUUUGCCACGUCCCUGGGAUUUCUGUCUUAAUCAUAUAAGACAAUAUAUUGAAUGGGAAAGCGAAGCUACGUGAACUUCCCAACUACGUAUGCAGCCUCUUGCACUCACACUCACUCACACGAAAGUCUAUAAAUACCGAGUUCGUAUUGCCCUUGCAAUCCAUCCAGCAGAGAAACAUCUUUGAGAGUUUCCUUUAUCAGUAGAGUCUUUCACCUCCUUUGCUUUUGUGUAGGAAAGAUGGCUUACUCCAGGACUUUCCUUCUCCUUGGCCUUCUCUUUGCUGUUGUUCUCAUCCUGUCCUCUGAGGUUUCAGGUCGGGAGCUAGCUGAAACAGCCGAAACUCGUAAGUUAAAUUUCUUUCAACUACUUUUUCAGUAGAAAUAAUGGCAAGUUAUAUUAUAUGUUCAUAUACAUAGGGAUAAUUUUGUUUUCUUAAAUUAUGGCAGAAGUGAUCAGCGUGGAAGAUGAGAAGCACGAUGGGUAUGGACACGGACACGGGCACGGCCACGGCCACGGAAAAGGACAUGGGCAUGGGAAACCUGGUCAUGGUGGCGCCGGUGAGGAUGUGGAAGACGAGACUGAGGGGGCUCAGAAUUAGAGUAAUCAAUCCUUAAUUAUGUGGGCCACGCAUGAUUAGGGUGGGUUUUAUGUAAGAUUAUGAAAGCGUAUAUGUCAAUAAGGCAUGUGGGCUAAGGGGUACUCCCUUAGACCAGCAUUGCUGCAGUUGUUAAAUAUGUAGGUCGGGACUUGUAUCUUUUAUUUCUCUAUGUUUUUUAUGUGCUAAAUAAAGUAUGAUGAAUGUUGUCUGGGGGUCCUACCCUUUUUACGUUGCAUUAUUUACUUGGAAUUGCCCGGAAUUUGGAUUUGAAAGGGAUUUUUUUUUUUUUUUUUUACUAUGGUAGCAUGCCCUUCAAUUCUCAUCGAUGGCUUUUACAUUUGCACCAAUAUAAUAUUAGUAAUUUCAACUUUGAACAUCAGUACUGUUUAUUUAUUUCAUUUUUUAAGGAUUUUUUUUAUUUUUUUAUUUAAUUUAAAUCUCCUUGAUUCCACUCCAAUAAAUGGUGCAACUUCAUGACCAAUAUGAACCCACCCCUUUUCACCCUGUUCUUCCAAAUAUAAUGCUUGAAAGUGAGUACUCCCAUGGAAUAAAUUGGUUUCCAAAAUCUCCAUUUAUUGAAAAAAACCACACACCCGAAUUUUCAUUUGGAAACUACCUCUCUCAUGCACCUUUGAAUUCAAUAAUCUUCUAACGUACUUUAAAAUAAAUAUAGCUACUAUCAAUAUUUUUAAAAUCAGAUCCAUCAUUGAAUUGAAAAAGUUAUCGAUCCAUGAUUCACUAAUCGAAUCGAUGGUUGAACCGUAGUCAAACCAAUGAUGUUAUAAAUAUAUAAUUUAUAUUUAUAUAUAAUUAAAAAUAAUUAUAAAAAAUAAACAAAUGUAUAUAAUUAAAAAAUUUAACAAUAUUUUAUUUUUUAUAUGAAUUAAACUAAAAAAAUUCUAUACUUGCAUAUGUAAUAUUAAUAGAUUAAAUCAUGAUAUAUAUGCUAAUAUUUCUAAAUUUACUAUUAUAUGUAUGUAGUAUUUAUGAUUUAAUAUUAAGAAGAUAUAUAUAUCCUAAGAUGAAAUCAAAUUUUAUAUGUCAUUUUAUCAUUUAAAAAUUAUUAAGCUUAUUUUACUAUAUGAAUAUUUUUAUUUAUUUCAAAAUUUUAUUUAUUUAUUAAAAAAAUAAUAUGCAAAUAUAUUUAACAACUGACUUGGGUUAAAAACACAAUUAGGUAAGUGGUCGCUGGUUUCAUUUUAUAUGCCCAGCUCGAAUUUUAAGUGGCUGACGUAGGAGUCUUGGGAAUGAAACAGAGCUGCAAAAUGAUGAAGGUGGGUUGCAUGGACCCAAAUCUUGAGAUAAAGUUGGAAAAAUGAUGGGUUUAUAGAAAAGGAAAAGAUCGUUCAGUUCUCAAAAACCGGUCGGUCCACUGGUUUGGAUGGUGCAUCUGUCGGUUCAUGUGAUUUGAUCCCGAUCCAAUGCUUCUAACGGUUUAACCGUUUAAUCAGAUUGGAACCAUGAUUGAUCGACGAUCUAAUUGGUUAAAUCGACGGACACAAUCUGAUUUUCAAAACCAUGGUUAUUACGAUAAAAACAUAAACAUUCCUCGUUUUAUUGUAAUAUUUGUUAGUAGAUUAAGGUAUUUAAAUUAAGUUGAUAAUUUUGUUUCCUAAUCUUGAUUUAGAAUUCUAUGUAUUUUUUAUUUUUUAUUUUUAUGAUUUACACUUCUAUUAAGUAAGGUUAUAAGAUUCAGGAAUAAAAUCAAUUUCGAAAGAAUUUCAAAUGGAAAGUCUUUUUAAACUUAAAAUAUGAUAUCUUUUUAAAUAUUUCUAAAAUUUAAAUAUUAAUUGUAUUCUUUUUAGUAAAAUAUGAUUUCUAAAUCGAUUAAAAGUUUACUAGAAUAUAUAUAUAUAUAUAUGCCUACUAGAAGAGUUCUCUUCCAAGAAUUCAUGUACCUAAAUUUUAUCUUAAAUUUUAAGACUGUUUGUCUUUUUCUUGAGUUGGAAGACUUUGAAUACAUUUGACAAUAAUUUUUAAAAGUAUUUAUAGUGUUUCUAAUAUUUGAAAAAUAAAAAUUUUAAAGACCAAAAACACUUUUCCAAAUUAUUGCAAAAUGCAUUCUUUGUGGCACUCUCAAUUGAGGAUGUUCUUUUUUGGAUCGACUUGUUGACGUGAGGACUGAGGAGGGACGUAUACAUGCACUGUAUAAGACAUGGUUGGCUAAUUCCAAUUUCCAACUACGUUAUUAAAGUGAGUGAUUUUGGAACCUUAAAAUGAUACGACAGACAUAGUAUAGCAUUUUUUGUUAGAAGGAUCGAAAUCCAUACAUUCUAUGACUUGUGAAAUAUGUUGGAGAGGGCUACCUAUUAAUAUUACUGCUAAUAUAUAGUGUAUAUAUGGUCCCCACCAGUACUUCAAUUCUCUGAAAAAAUGAAAUCUAGCAAAACCACGUGAGGAAAAGCUUUCUCACUGUAGAACUUAUCCAAACUUUUUCUUUGUUGCUAUAUUUGGUUUUUAUCCUCCAUCAACAAGUUAUUAGCAAUCAACCAUUGGCUAAGUGGGAAAUUUACUAGGUUAAAAAAUCACUGCUACAAAAAAUACAUUCAAUGACGGUCAUUUCCUUGGCGCUGGUAAGAAACGUCAAGUUACGGGGAUUUUUGAUAAUUUAAAAUUAAUUUUUUAAAAUACAGUAUAAUAAAAACUAUUUUCAAAUCUAUGAUACUUUUUUGUCACUUUUAAAAGUGUAUUUUAAAAAGACACUUUACAUCAUUUUUAUAUAAAUGAUAUACGUUUAAAACAAUUGAAUUUACAUUGAAGGUGUCUCUGGAAGAGACAAGAGACACCUUCCAUAAUUUUUAUAUCAAUAACACAUGUUAAAAAUUUUGAAUUUACAUUAAAAGUGUCUCUUCAAGAGACACCUUUUAUAAUUUUACAAAAUCAAAUUUAUAUUAAAAGUGUCUUUUAAAUAGAUAUUUUCACAGUUUUCAUAUCAGUUGCAUAAUAAAAAAUUGAAUUUAUACUAAAAAUGUAUUCUUAAGAUAUAAUUUUUUACAAUUUUACAAAAUUAAAUUUAUAUUAAAAGUGUAUCUUGAAUAGACACCUUCAAUAAUUCUUGCAUCAGUCAUCUAUUGANNNNNNNNNNNNNNNNNNNNNNNNNNNNNNNNNNNNNNNNNNNNNNNNNNNNNNNNNNNNNNNNNNNNNNNNNNNNNNNNNNNNNNNNNNUUGCAUCAGUCAUCUAUUGAAAUAAUGAAUUUAUACUAAAAGUGCAUUUUAAAAAACACAUUCCAUAAUUUCAUAAAAUUAAAUUUAUAUUGAAAGAUUAUUCGUUCAAGAGACACUUUUAGUAUAAAUUUAAUUUUUUUGAUAGGUGAUUAAUAUAAAAAUUGUGGAAAUUAUUUCUUCAAAAGACACAUUUAGUAUAAAUUUAAUUUUGUGGAAUUGAAUAGAUUCCUUCAAUGUAAAUUCAAUUUUUUUCACUGUGUAACUGAUAUGAAAAUUAUCAAAGAUGUCUCUUCUAGAGACACCUUUAGUAUUAAUUUGAUUUUAUGGUAUUGUGGAAAUGAUAUUUCUUUAAUAUAAAUUCAAUUUUUUUUAACGUGUAUGACUAAUAAAAAAAUUAUGAAAAAAUAUCUUUUGAAGAAACACCUUUAACAUAUAUUUAAUUUUAUGGAAUUAUAAAGUAUGUCUCUUCAAGAGACACCUUUAGUGUAAUUCAUUUUUUUUGGGGAGAAUUAUGUUUUGGGGGUAGAUGGGCUCUCAAAUUAACAAAAGGUCCAUAUAACUCUUCAAAUUGAGCCCAAGACCCAAUGAAAGUAUGGAAAUUGAGUUGAAGGAUAUCAUUCUUCAGUAUUUACAAAAAUACCCUUUGUUGAUUUUGAAAAAAAAAUUAAUAUUUUUGAAAAAUACUUUUAUUUAAUUUAAUAUUUUUUAUUUUAUUUAAUAUUUAAAAAAAUACUUUUAUGUAAUUUAAUAUUUUUAAAAUACUUUUAUUUAAUUUAAUAAUUUUAAAAAAUAAAUUUAUUUAAUUUAAUAUUUUAAAAAAAUAUUUUAAAAAAAAUAUUUUAAAAAAAAUAUUUAAUUUAAUAUUUUUUUAAAUACUUUAAUUUAAUUUAAUAUUUUUGAAAAAAAAUUUAUUUAAUUUAAUAUUUUUAAAAACUACUUUUAUUUAAUUUAGUAUUUUUGAAAAAAAAAAUUAUUUAACUUAAUUUUAUAAAAUAUUUUAUAUGUGUUUUUAAAGGGUAUAUUUGUCCGUUACUAUUUCAUAUCCUUCAACUCAAUUUGAAGAGUUACAUGGACCCUUUAUUAAUUUGGGGCCCAUCUACCCCCAAAAGAUAAUUCUCCCUUUUUUUUUUUUUUAACAUUUAUGGUUGAUAUGAAAAAUAUAUAAGGUAUUUCUUUAAGAAACACAUUUCAAAGUGGGAAAAAAAUGCCGUAGAUUUGAAAUUAUUUUUCAAACUACCAUAGUUUAAGAAUUAUUUUUUAAAGUACCGUUUUUUAAGAAUUAUUUUUUAAAAUAGCUGUAUAAGUUAAAAAAAGCCCCAAGUUACUGCAGGAAACACAUUGAGGAGUCAUGGAUGGUGGAAGUAUAGCUUUGCUGCUCCUGGACUUUCUGGACAGUCCCUUUGGACUCACAAAAGAGUCUUCAGUCACUAAAGAGGACAGAAAAUUCAUAUUGUUCGAUUUGUGUCAAAAUCCACUCGUAGAAAGUGGUUGUUGCAUCGUUUUGGAUCGCCAUAUAGAUGGUUUUGAUUCUUGUCUAAUUUUCUAUGAUAGUAAUUUUUCUUAAGUUUUCUUAGUCUCAAAAAGUGUUUAUUUUAUUUUAUUUUUUUACAAAUUAUAAAUAAAGUUUGAAUGCCUUUGGAUGGUUUAUUUCUCAAUUUUUAUGCCAAAUUUUUUGGUACAUUUCUUAGGCAAUAUCAUAUGUUUAUAUAUCAUUAAUUUGUUCUCUUAAACAAAAUUUGUUGUCAUAAAUAGGAAGAUUACGAAUGUUUAUGUAAUUGCAUGUUAAUAUUAGAAGUUAUUAAUAUAUUUAGUUACUAUAUUAUAAUUAUAUAUUUAUUAUUUAAUUAUUAUACUACAAUUAUUUUCUUUCUUUUUAGAAAUAAUGAUAAAUUAGUCUUUAUUUUCUUUUAUUAGACUUAUUUAAAUUGUAAUUGUCUUAUAUUUAUUUUAAAGAGAAUUGAUAAUAAGAAAUACCAAAUUUUCUUUUCUUUUCUCUUUGAAUCUUUUUUAGAUUUUAACAUGGUAUUAAAGCCUAGUUUGACAGGAGGCCAUGAGUUCGAGCCACCUCUUCACAUCUUUAAUGAGACUUUUGAUUUGUAAUUUCAUGAAAAAGAGUUUAAUAUCAUACGUUGUUUUCGUAUCUGUUUGAUCGUGAGAUAUAAUAAUGGGUGUUUACAUAAUUCUUUUCGUGUUUGAUCCUAAUAUUUGAUUUUGUAUUCAUUUGUUCGAUAUAAUCCAAAUUCUAUUUGUUGGAUAUGAAUCCAAAAUUCUGUCUAUCUUUCUUUUUUCUAUGUUGUUGAAUAUGAAUUCAAAUUAUAUUUGUUUCUAUUUGUUAUAUAUGAAUUCAAAUUCUCUUUGGCUUUGUCUUUUGGAAAUGAAUCCAAAAUUUGUUAAUCUUUUUUUCUUUUAUUUCUCAUUUUUCUAUGGUUUUAUGUCUUCUUCUAUCUCUAUUUAUUGAUUUCUCAUUCCUUGAUAAGUUUUAUGUUGACUUCUAUUUUUCUUUCUUUGAUGGUUUAGUUUUGUGUCUUUUUUUUUUUCUUCCUUUUUUUUCCAUUAUAGUUUUAGUUUUGUCUUAUUGUACUUUUUCUUUGAACAUAUGCUUUUUCUAUUCCUAUCGAGUCUCAUGGUGUCUUUGUGUUUGAGCUUGUUCACAUUGGUCUUUUUUUGUGAAUGAUACAAAUAAUAUCCAUGCAAAUAUUGAUAUUUGACACUUCAAUUAAACGGUGCAAAGCUCGAUUGUUUGCUAAGAGAUUUUUUCAAUAGUAUGAUUGUAAAGUUGUUUACCAAGUCAUACUUAUUUUCACAUUUUUUUAUUUUCGAUUAAAAACUUUCAAUACUUUUCGUAGUUGCAUUUUGAGCUUGUGAGGCGUGUUAGACGUUAUUAAUUAAUAUAUUUAGUUACUAUUUAUAAUUAUAUAUUUAGUUACUAUAUUUAUUUAUUUAGUUAUUAUAUUAAAAUUAUUAUUAUUUUUUAAAAUAAGAGUAAAUUAGUCUUUAUUUUAUUUUAUUAGACCUAUUUAAAUUGUAAUAAUGUUAUAUCUAUUUUAAAGGGAAUUCAUAAUAAAAAAAUCUUAAAUUUUCUUUCAUUUCUCUUUUUUUUUUUUUCUUUUUUAAUAUUUUUUGAAUUUCAACAUGUAAAAGUCUUAAGCAAGCCAAGUUGUUCAAAUUGUAAUUAUCUUUAUUUCUUUGAUCAAUCACAUUCCUAAUAUCUAUAAAGACCAUGAAAUUAUUAUUUGAUGAGAUGGUUAGAGUGAUGAGAGAAAGUGAUCGGUUGUCAUAAAUUCAUGUGGUCUUAUCAACCCUACAGGAGACUAAUGUUGGUUAAUCAUUUUCAUUUGUCGUCUACGAUGAGUCUUUAAAUUCAAAUUCAUCUAUUAAUGUUGACAACUUCAUCACAUCCACCCACUCAUUACUUUGCAUAAUCCCAUCUCUCCUUUCGUUAUUUCAAAUAUUGCGUAGCACACUUUCUAUAUUUUUUUUUAAUAUAAUUUUUUAGAGUCUUUUAAUAAAUCUUUUCGUUUCUUUCAUAAUGCCUCAAUUUUUUUCAAAUCAAUUUCUUUGUUGUAGUCUUUAUUCAAUAGAUUCCAUAAAUUUUGAGAGUUGCCCUUGAAUUGAGUUAUUAUUUAUUGUUAUGAUUUUACUACAAAAUUUACAAUUUCUUAAUAUUUUGCACAUUUUUCUUGUGUCAUAACUUUGAUAUUCCGACCCUUAAUAGAAAUUUCUAAUCGUGACACCAUAUGUUGAGACGUACACAGUUGUGAUAAUAAUUUUUACUCAAAAAAUAUUUUAUUUUAUUGAACUUAUUAACCAAUCUAUAUUUAUAAUAAAUUAAUCAUAUUUAUGUUAUAAGUCUAAUUCAUAAUUAAAAUAAGACUUAUAAAUAACAUUAAAAAAAUUAAAUAAAUAAUAAACUUGAAAUUUUCCAAAUUCCUAAAAUUCUUUUGAUUUUACUUCAGGUGGAAUUAAUAUUUUCAAUAUGUUAAACUUAUUAAAAAAAUUCUAAAAUUAAAGUUAUAGUUAAGGAGGGUUUAAGCCUUGUUUGGGAUGACAUUUAGCUAUUGCUAAACUAAUUAAUAUUGUAUUAUUUUUAUGUUUAAAAAAAUAGUUAAAUAAAAAUUAGUUAAGAGUUUUAUCCAAGUUAGGUCAGUCCUUUAAAUGCUGGCUUUAGCUUUUGAAAAGCUCUCCCAAAUAGGACUUAAUAAUAAGUGUCAUUUUGGCAGGUUGCAUGUUGAGUGGUAUGAAGCCGCAAAGUAGGAAGAUGAUGGCGUUCACAUUUGAAUCAUAAGAGUAAAGAACAGAGAAUAAGUAGGUAAAUUAAUUAUAUUGUUCAUUUGAUCUUUUUAUUUAUUUAUUUAUUUUUAUAGAUAUAGAGUUAUGACAAAAAAGGACAAAAAAAAAGUGAUUUAAAUGAUACAUACUUAAUUAUAGGUAAUUUAUCUAUUGUUGGACCUUUAACCUAUGUUUGAUUCUCAAAAAAUUUGAGAGAAAAUGUAUGUAUAUGAAAGAAAAUAGAGAAGAAAAAUAGUAAAAAAAAAAUGAAGGAAAAUAAAAUAUAGAUUUAAAGUUAAUAAAUUAAUUUUAUUUACUACUUUAAAUUUAUUUAACUUAGUUUAACUCCUCAUUUAAAAGAUUAAAUAAUUUGAAAAUAUUUAAGUUUUUAGCUUAUUUUAAUUAUAUUUUAUUUUCUUUUAUGUUUUUUUAUAGUACAAUCAAAUAUAAGAAAAUAAUUUUUCUUAUUAUUUUUUUUUUCUUAGUAUUUUUUAGGAAUCAAAUAUAAACCUUAAGGAAUAAAGGGUACUUGGUGUAACCUUAAAAAUUUUAGUACUAAUAAUUCUAAAAAAACUUUUGGAUAACCAAAUAAUCUUUCAUGGAGUUCCAAACCUCGGGUUACAACAAUCAAUAUUGAAUAAAUUUGUAGUAACAUCAAAAGAAGUUAAUAAGAAAUUAACAUUAAUGUUUAAUUUUGAUAAUACCAAGAAAAUAAAAAUAAUAAAUGAGAAAGUAAUUAUAUGGUUUGAUAAUGUGUCGAUAUUAUGGUAGAGAGGAAAUCAAUUCAUUAUAUUUAAAGAAGUAAUUACAUUAUUAAAACUCUCAAAUCUACGUGAAUAAAUCUAUUUUUAUAACAAAAUCUCAUAUAUUUCUUAAAAUUAUGCAUAUGCAUGUUGCUCGUGGAGGAAUCUAUCCAAAUAAAUUAAGGUUGGUGGAUACAAGACAAAUAUAAGUGACGUAAGACGGGACGUAAUCAAUCAUCCAAGUGAAACCACGUGUGUGAACUGUGAAGCACAAGAUUAUGGGUUACUCACCCCUUCAACUUCAUGUGGAGAAGAAUUAAUUUUGAAUUUUAUGCUCCAGCCCAUGGCCUGAAACCUAUUGGUCUCACUGUCAAUGCUGUCCUUUUUCGAAUUUGAUGACGCGAGGAGGGACGUAUGCGAUGUACGGGACAUGGUUAUAUUAUUAUACCUUAAUUAUGUUCAUUUGUACAUUUACAUAUACAAACUUUUUCUUUUUUCUUUUCUUCUCUUAAUUAUUUAUUUAUUUUUUAGUUUUUAUCUUUUACCUUUUUUCAGUUUUUUAUUUUUUUAUUUUUUUUAUACAAUUAGUAUACCCUACAGACUUCCAAAUCAAGAAAUUAAAAUUAAUUUUGAGAAUUAUUUUCAUGAAUAAAAUCAUAUUUAGAAACUUAAAUAUAACACUAUAUACUUAUUAUAUAUAAUACGAAGAUUCUCAACAUAAUCCUUGUAUUUUGAAUUAUUAAUUAAAACACUUUAUCAUAAAACACCUUAAUUUUACUGUAAAAAUAAUUAAUUUUUAGAGCAAAUUUAUAAAAAAAGAAAAAAGCUAGACAUGUUCUUAAAUUUUUAAGGAUAACUAAAGGCUGACCAAAUCCGGCAAAAGCACGUGAGAAAAAGCUUUCACAAGCAAAAUCAAUCUAAGGCGUUACCUUUAUUGCUAUUUUUCCUUUUUAUCCCAAUGUAGGCAGUGAAGUAGAAUUUUUCUGACUCUGGAUUCUUUGGGCAGUCCCAAGAUUUGGACUCAAAAGAGUCUUGGGUCAUGGGGAGAGGAGCCGAGCCUAAGGAUUCAUGUCAAGUUAAAUUAUUUGCAAAGCAGAAAGGUUAGACAUUGGAAGCAAAAGGGCGGUGAGCACAGCUAGAAAAAGUGCUUUAUCGACACAUGCUUUUGUUAAAGAGCAAUAUCAUAUCUUUCCACGAGUUUAGACACUUUCCUUCUCUUAAAUCAUAAUAUGUGGAUAUCACAAAUAUUACUUUACGUGUCACUGACUCAACCCCAGAAGUAUCCACCAAAGAUCUCUUUUUUAAUCAUAAGGCUUAAUUAAUAAUUUAGUAAAUUUAAUAAUCAUUUUUUUACAGAUAAUUCUUCAUGGGAAACUCAUGAAAUGACAUGUGAACUGUUUUGUGAAUUGGGUAUAGAUUGAUUAUCUAUAAUUAUAACCGAGGAAGCAUGGAAACCCAGAUUCAAACCGACAUGCCACGUCCCUCCAACUUCUUUAAUGGUACGUGUGGUCACUUUAUAUUGACUCUCAAGCACCAGGACAGACAGAGCCAAGUUGCAUUCACAUUACAAAUCAUUCAAUCAGAUCAGCAAAUGGGCAAUCAAUAUACCUCAAAGGUUCCUUUUUCUCCAUCUAUAAAUAGGGGUUACUCACACUUCACUCAUCCAUCCCUCCAGCAAACAAGCUUCUUUUGAGUCUCUCAUUGCUUCCCAGUUUUCAUUCCCCUAAAGUAAUGGCUUACUCCAAGACGUUUCUCCUUCUGGGUCUUCUAUUCGCUGUUGUCCUUAUCCUCUCCUCUGAGGUGUCGGCCAGAGAGCUAGCCGAGGCUGCACAUACCCGUGAGUUUCCCACUUUUUUUUACACACUUGUUAUAUCAAUUUACAGCUGAUGUACUGUGACUAAUUCAACUAAUCCAAUUUUUUUUUUUUGUUCUAAUGACAGAAGGGAGUGUGGAAGACGCUAAGUCCUGGGGACAUGGGCAUGGCCAUGGACAUGAACACGAGCAUGGCCACUGGGGACAUGAACAUGGGCACGGCCAUGGGCAUGGGCAUGGGCAUGGACACCACGGCCAUGGUGGUGCUGGUGAGACUGUGGAGAAUGAAACUGAAGCUGGCGAGAAUUAGAUAGCAUUUCUAGCUGCUGUAUUUUCACGCCCAUGGGUGGAAGUAGGUUGUGUGGUUUAUGUGAGUUUGUAUGUGAAUAAGGCAUGUGCUUGUCAGUGGUUGCCACCAAUGUUCCUCUAGGAAGAUGGUUGUGUUGCUUUGACAAGAUGUUAAAGCAUGUGUGAAACUUGCAGAUGUCAACUUAAUUAUUGUCCUGAAAUUAGAACUUUUUCCAAGUCCUUUGUCUCUAUAAGCAAAGUAAGCAAAAUAAGUAAGGUAAAAGCAGAAAGAUCAAACAGGAUUUCUCUGCAUAAUUAAGUAUCUCCAUUGAUCUUUUUUAAAUGAAGACUAAAUAUUUGUGGGUUCAGACCUCUUUACAGGUAUUUGUGGGUUCUUGAUUUCAUUGUUCCAUAUGCUCUUACUUCUCAUUGAAAAAAAGUUUUAAGUUAAAUUGAUAAUUAAAUAAUAAGUUUUAAGAUAAUAGAAUUUAAUUUAAAAUUAAUGAUCUUAAAUCAUUAAAUAUUAAGCAUGACCAUAUUAAUCCCACCAAACAAAGUAGUUGGCCAUAUAUGAUUUGCGUUUACCCAUAAUUGAAUAUUGAUUAAAUCAUGUUUAAUAUAGUGAAAUACGUAGAUAGAAAUGAACAAGUAUAGUGAUACAGCUUUGUUCUAAUAGACAUAACAAGGAAAUGAAUACAAAUAGUAUUUUCACCAUCAUAUUGUACAAAAUCAAAUACGUGGGAGAAUCCAUCCAAAGGAGCAACACAACAGAGUUAGCGAUAAGCUUGAAGAACACUUGUAAAGUUGGUGGACAUAAGGACAAAUAUAAGAUGACGUGAGAGGGGACAUCAUCAUUUUUGUAUCUGUCACGUGAGUAAAGUCGAGUCAUAAAGAAUGCUGCCCAAUAGAUGUAGGGCACCAGCCCAUAAACUGCAUGCAUAUGAAGUUGAAUGUUAAAGCUCAACCCCAGCACCUAUCAGCUAUGGGUCGGUCACUCAAUUUUUUGGGACUGGGUGAAGUGAGCAGGGACGUAUGCGAUGCAUAGGACAUGGUUGGAUAUUAAUUUGCAUGAAAUUUUUGAGCUCCAAGCCUGCAACUUGAUAUGGUAAUAUGUAAACACUGAAAAGGAAAUGUUAAACUAACAUAUGAUAAUUACCAAGCAAAAGAUUUGGACCGUUUAAGAGGAGACUAAAAAUAUGUAUGUGCAAUUCCCUGAUUGAUGAUAUCUUUAUAAUAGGUAUCGAAAAUGGUAACUACGUAGAUCCAAAGAAUUAGGAUUAGAGAUGGCAUUACGGCAACUUAGCUUUAUCCUUGCCCACUUCAUUUUGCAGUACUCUACAGAGAAGAACAAAUUAAGCUGGUCCUAUCCUACAUCGACAUGGUAUUCGGGCCACUACCCCAUGUAAUAGCAUAUUUUGUCCAGAUGGCAAAUUUUGAUGGCUUACAAGAAUUUGUGAAACUUCUUUUGUGGCUGCUAUUGCGGGAAAUUAAUCAAAUGGGAGCAUUGUGGGCUGUCUGAGUAUAGUUUUUCUACAUUUCCUUUUCUACACUUGUAUCCAAAAAUCACCUUCUCUGGUAUCCUUCUAUUUGAGGACUCCCGAGUACUUUUUCUUCUUUCCCAACACCUUAUCCCUUUCUCAACAUUAAAAGCCAUAGUCUGGAGUUCAUCAGGGUUGAAACCCUCCAAGUUUUGCAACCCCACAAAGAGGGGGAGCUUGCAAAUCACAAGACUAUUAUUUGUUAGAUUAAUUAAAGCUGAUGAAUUUUAACAUGUUUUGUGAUUUGGGUGUAGAUUAAUUAUAUGAAGGAGGCAUCAAAAGUAACAGGUUGAAACAAACCGACAAGCCACGUCUCUAGAAUUUCUUUAAUGGUAUGGUUAGACAAAAUCUUCACUCUGACACACCAAGAUGAGAACGUGUACCCAUUCACAAUAGGAAUCAUUCAAUCGCGUCAGAAAAUGGACAAUCAGUCUCUCUGAAGCUCUCCCUUUUUCCAUCUAUAAAUGCGGGUUACUCCCACUGCACUCACUCAUCCAUCCCUUGAGCAAACAAUCUUCUUGUGAGUUUUUUUCAGUCUUCGUUCCCCCAACAAAAUGGCAUACUCCAAGGUUUUUCUCCUUCUUGGCCUUCUGUGUUCUGUCGUUCUUGUCCUCUCCUCUGAGGUGUCAGCCAGAGAGCUAGCUGAGGCUGCUCAAACCCGUGAGUUCCCCACUCUUUUAGACACUUUGUAUGCAUCACUUGCUACUAUGCACAUUCUCUUGAGCUGCACAAUAGCACAUGCCAGUCAAUGGUGUUUUUGCUCUAACUGAUAGAUUAACAAAUAAGCAAAGUACCUUUCUAAUUAUAAUUAAACCAUGGAUAUAUCUUGGAGAAUUUCCUCACCACUCCUUAGCAGAAUCAAUACCGUGACUAACUAAUAACGCCCGGCCUUUUUUUACUCUUUCUAAUGGUAGAAGGGAGUGUGGAAGAAGCUAAACACUGGGGACAUGGACACGGGCAUGGACACUGGGGACAUGGACAUGGGCAUGGUCAUGGCCACAGGCAUGGACACCAUGGCAAACCCGGACAUGGUGGUGCUGCUGAGACAGAGGAAAAUGAAAGUGAAGCAGGCGAGAAUUAGGCAGAAGCACUUCUAGCUGCUGUAUGUGCACGCAUACACCGUGCAAAUAAGGUUGUGUAAUUUACGUAAGUUAGUGUGUCAAUAAGGCAUGUGUGAUCAGUGGUUGCCACUAGAGUCC
Molecule: long non-coding RNA, 44707 nt
Filed under: Vitis vinifera (wine grape)
Lineage: Eukaryota; Viridiplantae; Streptophyta; Magnoliopsida; Vitales; Vitaceae
Description: long non-coding RNA (VVIN_LNC006487)
Source: RNAcentral